GAGAUGAAAUUCGAGGACUCAAAGGAUGGAGGAUGUGUCCUCAAGAUCACCAGUGAGUAUCAUUCAAAGGGUGAUGUUGUACCUAAAGAAGAGGAUAUUAAAGCAGCUCAGGAACAUACUAUGGGACUCUACAAGUCUUGUGCAGAUUACCUGAUUGCCAAUCCUCAUGUUUGUGUCUAAAUAAUUUCUAGUUAUAUUUCCGAUUUUCAAUAUUUCCUUAAUAAAGAACUUUGUUCUACUCUUCCAUUGAAGUUUGUUCUUAUCCAACUGUUAUCAAAAUUUACGGUACAACAUUAAGAUGAAUUUUUAGCAAGGUUCAGGUCUUUGCCUUAAUAAAGCGAAUUUGUUUGUUUAUUUCCAUCCACAUCUAUUUAUUCCUAUUUCAUGUCGAAUUUUCAAUGAAUAGUGCCAAAUUUCAUCAAAUUACAUGUGAGCUUGCUAUUUAUAUCUGUUUCAUUGCACGUAAAUUUCAGUUGCAAAGAAAUUUUAUCUAGAUAUGGAGUAAUUAAAACUUCCAUUUGAUAUUGCAAAGGUGAAAAAGGCAAAUCAAUUUGAUAUAAGUUGGAAAAAAAAAACCACCAAAACCAUAGGAAUGCAUUUUCAAUGGAAUUGGCCAAAAACAUGUUUUAAGUGUUUGUAACCUGGAAUUCAAACUCCAUUUUCACUUUCGUAUCAAAUAGGCAAAAUAGAAAACGAAUUCCUCGGAAAUGCCAUUUUCCAUUGAAUUGAAGUCAAUCAAACGGAGCCUAGGACCCCCUUAAUAAUUACCUGAUCCAAGAAAUCAACGAGGAUAAAAAAAGCUGUGGAAUAGUUAUAUCUAACUUUUGUACAUUGGAUUUUUUGCAUAAUUAAUUGAAGUUACUUUUAGGGCCUGUUUGAUAACAAAGAUGAAAUUUGGAUGAAGAGAAAACGAAUUUUAGGGAGUUAAAUUGUCUAGAAAGUAUUUUACUGGAAAUUGUCAAUUAUUAUGUUUGAUUGGUAUAAUUUUUCAUGUUGAAAAUGUUGAAAUAAAAAUAUUCUUUGGUAUUUGUCUGGCUUUGUUUAACAUGAGAAUUGUUAAUUAAAUUAAUAGAAUUUACUGAUAUAGGGGAUAAAAUUUGUUUCCAUUGUCAAAAAAAAAAGACAAGAAAAUCAUCUAUCUUUUAGUGUUCGUUUGACUUUGUUUUAUAUGGAAAUUGUUAAUUAAAGGAAUUUUUUUUUAACACAAUUAGGGAUAGAAUUUGUUUCCAUUGUCAAAAAAAUUAAAAAAAAUAAAAGCAACCAAAAAAACCAAUUCCCAACUAACCCAAGGAAAUACAAAUUCCUCAUUUUCGUGGAAAAUAGGGUCACGAACCAGAAAACUAGAAAAUGAAUUGCCAGGAAUAUAUUACCUAUCAAAAAUGACAAAAAGUGAAAAUGACAUUUUCAAUUCCAACUUCCAUGAAUAAUAUGGCGUAUCAAACGGAGCCUUACUGUUUUGCCUAAAGUCUCCCCAUCCAUCAAGAGCAUUGAGACAAUUGAAGGAGAUGGUGGUGCUGGGAGUGUCAAAUAGACAAACUUCUUUGAAUCUGAUGGUUAGUCCAAAUAUUAAAAUCGCGAAAGAAGAAUGAGAACAUAAUACUUUGUAUAUAUGUAGUACUAUUGUGUCAAACGUCAUCAAAUAUACCAUACUAAACAAGUCAUAAAUUUGUAGUUGUCACCAAAAAAAAAAAAUAAUAAAAAAAUAAAGAACUAGACCAAAUAAAACAUGUCCGAAGUUUUGUUCAUUUUACGUACUCUCAUGAGCAUCUGCGUUAUAUAACAGGAUCUUACUUCAAACACAUGAAGAACAGGGUCAACUUUCUGGACAAAGAAAACUACGUGGGCAAGUUCACUUUGGUUGAGGGAGACACGCUUGGUGACGAGCUUGAAAAGGUAUGUUACGAGAUGAAAUUUGAGGACUCAAAGGAUGGAGGAUGUGUCCUCAAGAUCACCAGUGAGUAUCAUUCCAAGGGUUAUGUUAACCCUAAAGAAGAGGAUAUUAAAGCAGCCCAGGAACAUACUAUGGGACUCUACAAGUCUUGUGCAGAUUAUCUGAUCGCCAAUCCUCAUGUUAGUGUCUAAAUAAUUUCUAGUUAUGUUUCCGAUUUUUUGUAUUCCCUUGAUAAAGAACUUUGUUCUACUCUUCCAUUGAAUGUUGUUCGUAUCCAACUAUCAUCAAAAUUUACGGUACAACAUUAAGAUGAAAUUUUAGCAAAGUUCAGGUCUUUGCUUUAAUAAAACGAAUUUGUUUGUUUGUUUCCAUCCGCGUCUAUUUAUUCCUCUUUCAUAUCUAAUUUUCGAUGAGUAGUACCAAAUUUCAUCAAAUUACAUGUAAGCUCGCUAUUUAUAUCUGUUUCAUUGCAAAUAAAAAUCGGUCGCAAAUAAAUUUUUUUUAGAUUUUGACUACUUAAAACUAAGAUCCCUUUAAUUAUUACCUGAUCCAAGAAAUGAAUAAGGAUAGACAAAGCUAUGGAAUAGUUACACAUAACUUUUGUUCGUUGGAUUUUUUUGCAUAAUUAAUUGAAGUUACUUUUAUUACUAACACGUCAUUAUAUUUGAGAAAUAUUAAACAUAUAAUGCUUUUUAUUUUUAUUUUUACGAUUAGACUAAUAAGGAUAUUGAUGUUAAGUCAGACAUAAUUAAAAAUCAAAAGUAAAUCCUUGAGUAGUAUAUUCUAAAAAAAAUAAAAAUAUACACACACACACACUACGUUUGAGCCAAAUUUUGCCAAUUUUUCAUUUUUAGUCCCCAAACUCUCUUCCAAUGUGCAAUUUGGUCCUUUUUCAUUUCUUUUCAAUCCUUAGCCUUUCUUAUUUAUCCAACUGACUCCUAGCACUCUCCAAUCGUCGAUAUAAUAUCUGAAUCAACUUUUAAGAGUUUUCAAUUUAGACCUCAAACUUUAAAAUUUUUCCCCUUUUUUUUUUCCAUUUUUCACUCAUUUCGUCCAACUCCAUCAUUUUGUUUCGAAUUUCUCCUAACAAACGAAAUAUAUUCAAAUUUAUGCCUUAACAGCAAAAGGGAAGGAGUUUACUAUGCUAGGUGACUUGUGGUGUACAUAAGAAUCAAGGAGAUAAUGAAAUGGUUAUUUAUGUCAUUUUUGUAAUUGUUAUGCCCUAGAUACAAUCGAUUUAGGUUGAAACACUUUUAAUAUAUUUAAUGCAUUUAAUUUUGGCGAGAUCUAUUAUUUAUUUAAAUUAAUUUUGUGAUAAAUAAUAUUAAACAAUAGAAUCCGAAGAUCCAAGUUUAAGUGAUUUGUUAAUUACAAGGAGUUGUGAUUGUGAAAUACAAAUUACAUAUAAUUGGAUUUUGAAUAAACCGUGGUCGUAAGUAAUAACGAGAUACGGAUAUCGUUAAUACAGUUAGACCAUCACAUGUGGCAUUUCUUACUUGUGAAGUAAGUAGCUGAUCUCACGAGCUAAAGUGUGGUGACACUUAAAUGAACACGUGGAUGUUUGUUAUAGAAUAAAAUAUUGGAGACCCACUGAGAGAUUCCACAUGGAUAACUAUCUGAGUGUCAGUGGUUAAUCUCUAACGUUCGGUAGUGGAAUUGGUCCUAUAACUUGAGGUCAUCAUAGUGCCUUGUAUGAGGACAGUCAUGAUUUGACGGUGUUGGAUGUUGCUCUGCCAAGGGCUGCUAAUACGACAUCGUUCGGGUAUGUCAAGAACCAUAUGAAGGUUGUGAAUGACCAAUAGAGGAUUCAUCACUCUUAGAUUGUAAGAGAUUGUGAUCUGCAUUUCGUUCAAUUAAGUCAAUAACAAAAUCCUUGGCCAAGGUAUACAUAUAAGUCGAAAAGAAAUUUUCGACUCAUAUUGACUUAAUAGUAGAAUGAAAGAUAUGAUCGAUAAUCGAGAUUGACACACUUCCAUAUCUCGUAGUUGAUCGGAUCAUAUUGACGAAUGGAUUAUAAUUUCAUGGUAAACGACUAGUUUUGGUUUUGUCAUAUCACGUGACAUUUCCCGUCACAUGUGUUGCCCUGAUACAUUGUUAGAUGUCAGUAUGGGACGGCAAGUGUGAAUUUGUGAUAAAUUAAAUGGGUGUUUAAUUUAUCAAUUUUGAUUAUAUCAAAAUAAUAUUUCACGUCAUUAGGUAUCAUGGUCGGGAACCUAAUGGGUUGCACACAAAAGAGAAUUGGAAGAUCGCAAAUUGCCAAUUGAUUGAUUUAACAAUCGUUGGAUAAAUUAAUUAAUUGAAUUUGUUAUUUAUAUUCCCGAAUUAAUUAGUUCAUGGAUCGGGUUUAAUUAAAUGGAUUAAUUAAACAUUGGAUCGGACCGGGUCGAGCCCGUUUGAGUUUAUAUAAAUACAUGGCUAGGGCUUGAGAUCUAUAAGGUUUUCAUUAUUCUUACUGGCACAAGAGGAAAAAUCCUACCAGUUGCAGUCUAUUCUCUGCGUGGAUUUCAUUGGAGGCUGGACAAUUAGAUAGCUGUGGGAGGCAGAUUCAAACUGCUCGAAAGGAAUAACGCGAAGGAGUUUGCAAAAUCAAGAAAAUGUAUAUUUCUUAUCACAGUUCUUAUUUAAAUAUAAAGCUGAAUCUCGAAUUGGAAUUGAAAUUUGUUUAAAUCUGGUGUGCAUGUUUAAGUAAAUUCUCAACAGUGGUAUCAGAGCCAACUUUGUAUUUGUUAAGAAUUGAUCUAUAUAUUGAUUAAAUUAAAAGUUAAUUUAAUCACGUUAAUCCAUGAAUCUAGCAAUUGUAGUUUUAGUUUUAUUUUUCUUUUCAGAAUCUGAUUUUGAAAGAACAAAAUUUUUUUUUUCUUGGAUCGAGGCAGCGGGACAGUGGCGGCUACGCGCACGCCACAGCCACUCGCAGCGCGCGCUGCUGCGUACUGCAAGCGCCUUAAGCGGCAACGAGGCCACUGCUGUGGUGAGCCGGGGGGUAAUUGACGACAGUUCCCCUACCAACUGUUGGGCAGGGCGGCGCCGGGUUACAAAAAAAAAUUUAGGGUUUUAGCGGAAAUGGGGGCCUCUGUUGCAAAUAAUGCAAUGAGGGGCCCCUGAUUGCAAUUACAAAAAUGGGGUCAGUUCACAAAAUUUAUAAGGGGGACCUGUUCUACAAUUUUUAACUUGGAAGGGUCCAGUGUUAAUUUCCAAAUUGGGUUAAAUUUGUAAAUUGUCAAAAAUGAUUUUGAAUUGAUUUUAAAAUGAUGUUUUAAUUGGGUUUGACCCAUACCCUAAUUUUGAUCCAAAAUUAAAAUUUAUUUAAAAUUUGACGACUUUUAUAUUUUUGUUAAAAUUAGGUUUUAACUUAAAUAUUUAAUUUUGACCCUUAAUUGAAUUUUAUUUUAUUUGGAAAUUUUGUCCUAAAUUAAAAUAUUAAUUCAAUUUUAUUAGAGUUGGACUCUAAUAUUAUAUUAAUUAAAAUUUGAUUUCAACUAAUACCACUUCCCAAUGCAAAUUAAAAUUUAGAGUAUGACUCUAAUUUAAAAAUUAAUUAAAAUUAGAUUUUGAUUAAAUUACUUCGCCGAAUAGUUAUGGAAUUAGAGUUUGACUCUAAUUCGGGAUUUAGUUAAAUUUUGAUUUUAAUUAAAUAGGCCCGUCAAUUAAGUUAAUUAAUUAAUAUGAUUAAUUAAUUAUUUAAUUAUCUCGAUCCAAAAUUUUGAAUUAGUUUUGAUGACUAUAAUUGUUAGAUUUAUGAGACUUUAUAUAUAAUAUUAGAUAUUAUACAUAAGAAAUAUUUAUGUGAUGAAUGUUUAUGGAUGAUUAUGGACUCGACCAUGUGGAUGUAUUGAAUGAUUGAUUUACUUCUUUUUGUUUUAUGGGCCUGCAAGUCCGUUGUUAUUAUUGUUGUUAUGGGCUUGCGAGCUCUUUAUUAUAUUGGACCUGCGAGUCCGUUGUUAUUGUUAUUAUUAUGGGCAUGCGAGUCCGUUUUCUUUUAGGCUUGCGUGCCAAUUAGUAUAUGAUACAUGUUGCAGUUUGACUAAUUGGAGGCGCAAGAAAUAUAUAUAUAUAUAUAUACACACACACACACAUAUAUAAUUACUUGAUGAGACUAUUGCAAGUUAAAUCCCUCGUUAAAAAUAUUAAGUUAGUAUUAUUUGCCUUUUAUCAUUAUAGUGUAAAACGAGAAUCUUAAAUCGACUUUAGCUUGUUCAGUACACUCAAGGCUGGUCUAUUAGGGAUAUAUUUGACACUAUGAAAUAUUUGAUAUUUCUGAAUGAUGGGUUUGAUUUAACUAAAAUUUAUCUUUUAUUGAGUACACUCAAGGAGAUAAGUUUUAGAGGCAUGUUAAGCUAACACAUAAGAUGUGUAAAGACAAAAGAGUUGUCAGCUUAAUGAUCUGAAAGUUGUAUGGAGAUACAAUUGAUAAUAAUAUCUACCCAAAUAUUUUAUUAGGAUUUGUUGAGUACACUCAAGAUCUUGAUACAACGAAUGGGAUCCCAGCCCACUGGGAAUCAAAUGUGGAUUCAAAUAAUUUAUGUAUGAGGGUCAUGAAUUUAUUUUAAAUAGUGGGAGCACGUUUAAUUAAAGUCCAUAUUGAAUUUAUGCAUAUGCAUUAUGAUACAUAUUAAUUCUAUGUUUUUCGUCAUUUACAGUUUUUGAAUCAUGAGUAAUCAUAUAAAUUUGAGAGACAUACUGGAUGUCAACAAACUGACUGGACCAAAUUUUUCUCAAUUUGAGAAUCAUUCUCAAGUAUGAGAAAAUUAGAUGUGUCCUUGAGUAGCCCUUUCCAGUGGUACCUACUGAAAAUUCCACUCAGGAAGAGGUGGCUGCUUACAACAAAUAUAGUGACAACAAUAAUACUACAGCAUGUGUGAUGCUUGCAGCUAUGUCACCUGAGUUGCAGAAGCAACAUGAGGGUAUGGAUGCUUACACUAUGAUUUUUCAUCUCAAGAAAUUGUAUGAUGAACAAUCUCGUGUGGAGAGGUAUGAGACCUCUAAACAACUAUACCGGUGCAAAAUGGCAGAGGGAUCUUCAGUCAGUGCUCAUAUGCAGAAAAUGAUUGGUUUCAUUGAAAAACUGGGUUCACUAGAUUUUAUCAUGGAUCAUGAACUAAGUAUUCACUUGGUUCUGCAAUCUCUGCCAGAUAGUUAUUCACAGUUCAUUAUGAAUUUUAAUAUGAAUAAGAUCGAAUGCACACUCCCUAAGUUGCUUAAUAUGCUUAAAACUGUGGAGCCCAAUGUCAAGGCUAGCAUUGGGCAUGUCUUAGCUAUUCAUUCAUCUAAGGACACUAAGAGGAAAAUCAAAGGAAGUUUUAAGAAAACAUCCAAAAAGGCUAAGGGUAAUAACAAAGCAGUCAAAGCAGGCAAGGACAAUACCAAAUCUGAUAACCCAUGUUAUCACUGUGGAGUGAAAGGUCAUUGGAAGAGGAAUUGCAAGGCUUACCUUGCUAGUUUGAAGGGAAAGAAGUCUUCAGAAACUUCUACUUCAGGUAUUUUUGUUAUCCAGAUUAAUAUGUCUACUGCAUUAGCUUCUUGGGUAUUAGAUACCGGAUGUGGAUCUCAUAUUUGUAUAAAUAUGCAGGGACUAAAGAGAAGUAGACCACUGCAGAAAAGAGAAGUUGACCUGCGCGUGGGAAAUGGAGCAAGAGUUACUGCAUUAGCUGUAGGGACAUACUUCUUACCACUGCCUUCGGGCUUAGUAUUAGCAUUAGAAAAUUGCUAUUUUGUUCCCGCCAUUAUUAAAAACAUUAUUUCUAUUUCGUGUAUGGACAUGAAUAGUUUUUCAAUUAAUGUUAAGAACAAUCGUUGUUCGUUUUAUAAAGAUGUGAUCUUUUAUGGUUGUGGUGUGUUGCAAAAUGGAAUUUAUAUUCUUGAUACUGAGUCGUCUAUUAUGAAUAUAGAAAAUAAAAGGUAUAAAAAUGAUAAUCUAAAUAAUACAUAUCUCUGACAUUGCAGAUUGGGUCAUAUUAACGACAAACGCAUUUCCAAGUUAUGUAAAGAUGGAUAUUUGGGGUCAACUGAUUUUGAAUCAUUUGACAAAUGCGAGUCGUGCCUGUUAGGCAAAAUGACCAAGUUUCCUUUUACUGAAAAAGGAGAAAGAAUCACAGAACUUCUGGGACUAAUACAUACUGAUGUAUGUGGACCCAUGUCAAUAACUGCCAGAGGUGUUUGCUCUUACUUCAUUACAUUCACUGAUAAUCAUUCUAGAUAUGCUUAUGUGUGUAUGAUGAAAUUCAAGCAUGAAACACUUGAAAAGUUCAAGGAAUUCAAACUUGAAGUAUAGAAACAGACUAGUAAAAAUAUUCUCACGCUGAGAUCAGAUCGAGGUGGAGAAUAUUUAAAGUGAGAAUUUUUAGAUUAUCUUAAAGAGAAUGGGAUUCUCUCACAGUGGACUCUGCCAUAUACACCGCAACAUAAUGGUGUAUCUGAACGGAGAAAUCGCACUUUGUUAGACAUGGUGCGAUCUAUAAUGAGCCAUGCAAACAUCCCAAAAUCAUUACACUAAUUGCUGUGUGCUACACAUUUAAUCGUAUCCCAUCUAAAUCGGUCCACAAAACUCCAUACGAGCUACGGAGAGGAAAAAGACCAAACUUAUCUCAUGUGAAAGUUUGGGACUGUGACGCUUAUGUAAAGCAAAAUGAAUCAGAUAAACUUGAGGUUAAAUCUGACAAAUGCGUAUUUGUGGGAUACCCAAAAGAGACAAUUAGAUAUCAGUUUUAUAAUCCCGUUGAGAAGAAGGUGUUCAUCUCAAGGCAUGCUAUAUUCCUAGAAAAAGAGUUUAUUCUAGGAGAAGGUAGCGGGAACAAACUAGAACUUGAAGAAGUUCAAGAAUCCAUAGAUACUGUUGACCAAUUAGAUGAACCUGAGUCUGAUCCUAUACCUGUUGACGAACAGACUCUUGAUUAGGAUGUAGAGAACUCUGAGGACACUCCAGCUCAGCGUAAAUCAAGUAGGAUCAUUCGACCUCCCAGAAGCUACGAAUUCACCAUUACUAAUCAAGUAUUAUUAGUCGAGGAUGAUGAACCUACAAAUUACGCAGAAGCGAAGUCAAGUGUUGACUCGAAGAGAUGGCAAGAAGCCAUGGAAUCCGAAAUUAACUCAAUGUAUGAGAACAAGGAUUGAACCUUGGUCGACCUUCCAGGUGGGAUAAAAUCGAUAGGUUGUAAAUGGGUUUACAAGAAAAAGGUCGAUGUGGAUGGAAACGUCCAUACAUACAAAGCAAGGCUAGUACGAAGGGUUACACACAAAGACAAGGUGUUGACUUUGAUGAAACUUUUUCGCCUGUAGCCAUGCUAAAGUCCAUUCGGAUUUUGCUUGCAAUAGCUGCAUACCAUGAUUAUGAGAUAUGACAAAUGGAUAUCAAAACUGCUUUCCUUAAUGGAAACUUACAAGAGGAGGUAUACAUGACACAGCCUGAAGGUUUUGAAUCCAAAGGAGCCAACAAAGUAUGUAAGCUAAAUCAAUCCAUUUAUGGAUUAAAGCAGGUCUCAGGAGUUGGAAUCUUCGUUUUGAUGAAACAAUCAAAAGGUUUGAUUUAUCAAAAAUGAAGAUGAACCGUGUGUUUACAAGAAGACAAGUGGGAGCGUGAUCAUAUUCCUAUUAUUAUAUGUCGAUGACAUAUUAUUAAUGGGAAACGACAUCUCAAUGCUUCAAUCGGUAAAAUUAUGGUUGUCAAAGAAUUUCUCCAUGAAAUAUAUGGGAGAAGCAGUGUAUAUCUUGGAAAUCAAGAUCUAUAGAGAUAGAUCUAAAAGAUUACUAAGCUUAUCCCAAUCUUCGUACAUAGAUAAAAUCUUGAGAAGAUUUAAUAUGGAAGAGUCUAAAAGAGGUUUAUGUCCUAUGUCGCAUGGGAUUUACCUCUCAAAAGAUAUGUGUCUUAAAACACAUGAUGAAAGGAGUCACAUGGAUAAGAUUCCUUAUGCUUCGGCGAUAGGAUCUAUCAUGUAUGCGAUGUUAUGUACGAGACCAGAUGUUUCAUAUGCUCUAAGUGUUACGAACAAGUUUCAAGCAAACCCUAGUGAGAAACACUGGAUAGGGUUAAGAACAUUCUUAAGUAUUUGAAAAGGACUAAAGAUGUGUUCUUGAUCUAAGGAGGAAAUGAAUUGAAAAUUCAUGGGUAUACUGAUGCCAGCUUUCAAACUGACAAAGAUGAUAGCAAGUCUCAAUCAGGAUAUAUGUUUACUCUCAACAGUGGAGCGGUUAGUUGGAAAAGUUCCAAACAGGAGACAACCGCUAAUUCAACAAUAGAAGCCGAGUACAUUACUGCUUCUGAAGCAACGAAGGAAACUGUCUAGAUCAAGAAGUUCAUUAAUCAACUUGGAGUCGUUCCUAGUAUUGUUGAUCCCAUACCUUUGUAUAGUGAUAACAAUGGAGCCAUCACACAAGCAAAGGAACCAAGGUCUCAUCAACGAUCCAAACAUGUGCUAAGGCGAUAUUAUCUCAUCAGGGAGAUUAUACAAAGAAAUGACAUAAUGAUAGAGCGAGUUACGACAGAAGACAAUAUUGUAGAUCCACUGACAAAGCCAUUGUCACAACAAAAACAUGAUCAUUAUGUGGACGCUUAUGGUAUUAGAUACAUGAGUGAUUGGAUCUAGUGCAAGUGAGAGUUUGUAAGUGUUAUACCCUAAAUCUAAUCUAUAUAGGUUGUAAACAUUUUUAAUAUGUUUAAUUCAUUUAAUUUUGGUGAGAUCUAUUAUUUAUUUAAAUUAAUUUUGUGAUAAAUAAUAGAAUCCGAAGAUUCAAGUUUAAGUGAUUUGUUAAUCACAAGGAGUUGUGAUUGUGAGAUACAAAUUACAUAUAAUUGGAUCUUGAAUAAACCAUGAUCGUAAGUAAUAACGAGAUACGGAUAUCGUUAAUACAGUUAGACCAUCACGUGUGACAUUUCUUACUUGUGAAGUGAGUAGCUGAUCUCACGAGUUAAAGUGUGAUGACAAUUAAAUGAACACGUGGAUGUUUUGUCAUAGAACAAAAUAUUGGAGACUCGCUGAGAGAUUCCACAUAGAUACGUAUCUGAGUGUCAGUGGUUAAUCUCUAACGUUCGGUAGUGGAAUUGGUCCAAUAACUUGAGGUCAUCAUAGUGCCUUGUAUGAGGGUAGUCAUACUUUGACGGUGUUGAAUGUUGCUCUACUAAGGGCCGCUAAUACGACAUCGUUCGGGUAUGUCAAGAACCAUAUGAAGGUUGUAAAUGAUCAAUAGAGGAUUCGUCACUCUUAGAUAGUAAGAGAUUAUGAUCCGCAUUUCGUUCAAUUAAGUCAAUAACGAAAUGCUUGGCCAAUGUAUACAUAUAAGUUGAAAAUGAGUUUUUGACUCAUAUUGACUUAAUAGUAGAAUGAAAGAUAUGAUCGAUAAUCGAGAUUGACACACUUCCAUAUCUCGUAGUUGAUCGGAUCAUAUUGACGAAGGGAUUAUAAUUUCAUGGUAAACGAACAGUUUUGGUUUUGUCAUACCACGUGACAUUUCUCAUUACAUGUGUUGCCCUGAUACAUUGUUAGAUGUCAAUCUGGAACGGCGAGUGUGAAUUUGUGAUAAAUUAAAAGGGUGUUUAAUUUAUCAAUUUUGAUUAAAUCAAUAUAAUAUUUCACGUCGUUAGGUAUCGUGGUCGGGAACCUAAUGGGUCGCACACAAAGGAGAAUUGGAAGAUUGCAAAUUGCCAAUUGAUUAAUUUAACAAUCGUUGGAUAAAUUAAUUAAUUGAAUUUGUUAUUUAUAUUCUCGAAUUAAUUAAUAGAAUUAAUUAAUUCACGGACCGGGUUUAAUUAAAUGGAUUAAUUAAAUAUUGGACCGGAUCGGAUCGAGCCCGUUUGGGUUUAUAUAAAUAUAUGACAAGGGUUUGAGGUCCAUAAGGUUUUCAUUAUUCUUGCUGGCACAAGAGGAAAAACCCUACCAGUUGCAAUCUAUUCUCUGUGUGGAUUUCAUUAGAGGCUGGACAAUUGGAUAGAUGUGGGAGACAGAUUCAAGCUGUUGGAAAGGAAUAACGCGAAGGAGUUUGCAAAAUCAAGAACAGGUAUAUUUCUUAUCACAGUUCUUAUCUAAAUACAAAGUUGAAUCCUGAAUGGGAAUUGAAAUUUGUUUAAUUCCGUUGUGCAUGUUUAAAUAAAUUCUCAACAAUUUUUAUAUACAUUUAAUUUAGUAAAUAAAAAAUAUACUUAAAAUGUAUGUAUAUAAAACACAAAUAUGCGGUGUAACAAAAGAUUUGUGUGGUGGCAAUAUAUUCAUCCAUAGUUAAAACAAUCAAGGAAGAGGUUCGAAUAGGUUUUCAUCAAUUUCAAAUUUAAUGCCGAAGGAUAUUCAUUUCAAAUUAAUUUAAACCUUAAUUCGGACUUAGGAGUGAUUUCAAGCCAGAAGUAUUGCAUAGAAUUUGAUUGGAUAAGUAUGCUGAUUGUUCUUAAUUGAUUUUAAGAGAAUUUUAAAUAGUUAAUGUUAUUUGACCAGUUAGUCAAGCAGAAUAAAACAUUCGUUAAACCUAAACUAAUUAAGAUUAGAAACGACGAAUUUAACAUGGUAAACUCAGUCUUACAGACUAGAAAUAAAUUCCAUUUCAAAAAAGUGUACUGUCAUUUCAAACAUUUGAAACUAAUAUAAUUAUCAAUGACGAGGAAACUGACACUGAGGGUAUACGAUGAACUAAGGUCCUAAUUAUACAAAAUCACUUGAUGACAAUUGACUAGGAAAAACAAAAAUCAUGAAAAAUCACAGCAUCUCUUUGAAAAUUGAUUAGGAGAAACUCAGAAGAAAUAAGAAUAAAUAUUCGAGUUAUGUUAAUCAUAAUUGAUAUGUUUGGCUGAGAUCAAAAAGUUUACUUGUAUGUAUAUAUUUAUGUUAAAAUUAUUUUCGCUUAAUUUGGUUAUACUUGCAAAUAUGUAAUUUCAAUGUCUGGAUAAUGAAAUAAAAUGUUAUUUUCAAGGAGAGCAUUUUUUUACUUAAAAAUAUGCUAAAGAAAUGUUUAGAGAUAAAAGUAAACUUAACUUCAUAAUGAGAAAAUUCAGAAGUGAUCCAGUUUCUGGCAUUCAGAGAUAUUGACAUCAAAUAAGCUAUUGUAUUAUUUGACUCCAAUAGUUCCUAAUAUUAUAUUAUUUGUAAUGGUAUUAUUCAAGUAUUAAAUAUUCAAUUUGGAUUCUGGGAACCCUACAAAUUGGACUAUGUUGAUAGAAAAAAGCUGAAAUGCAUCCUGAGAAAUAAUAAUUUUUUUCUUAUUCAUGGCCUUUGAAUGAAAGGAAAUAGAAUGCAUAGAUUUUGCAAAUGGAAUAGAUAGUCAAUAAUGGCCUACUAUGCUAUAGAUGGAGCCAAUUUGCAUUGACCCAGUGAUAGAACUUAAACCACUUGUCAUGAAUGUUAAAGGAAAGAAAUAUGGGCUCCCGGGGCACUGUUCAACUGGUGGAUCAAUCAACAUUGGCUUGCUUCCAGCGGCAGGGUGGAGAGUUCGAUUUCUGGUGGGAACUUGCGGCCGAAAAUUUGGUAUGGAGCAAUCACUGUGGAGGAGGGUCUCUUAUGCGCAGAAGUGUACAGUCAAUGAGGGGAACCUAUGAUCCAGUUGAGGUAUAUCCUGCGAUUUACUCCCUCCAAGGUUCUAGGGGUAUGAGUCUUGGAGGUCCAAGAUUUAGUUUGGUGUAAGCUGGGAUCCUCGAUAUNNNNNNNNNNNNNNNNNNNNNNNNNNNNNNNNNNNNNNNNNNNNNNNNNNNNNNNNNNNNNNNNNNNNNNNNNNNNNNNNNNNNNNNNNNNNNNNNNNNNNNNNNNNNNNNNNNNNNNNNNNNNNNNNNNNNNNNNNNNNNNNNNNNNNNNNNNNNNNNNNNNNNNNNNNNNNNNNNNNNNNNNNNNNNNNNNNNNNAAUUAAAAGAACAGAUUUUAUAUAGAUCUUUAAUUUCAGAAUUUAGAGAAGAAUAUUUUAUAAAUAGUUUUGAUCAGAUAUUUAUAUCAGAUCUAAAAUUAAGGAUUGAAUUAGAUAAUAUUGAUAAUAAUUAUUUAUCAGAUCAUACAAACUUUUCAUUAGAUUCUUUUUAUUAUUCAGAUUAGAAUAUUAAACUGGAUAUUAAUAGAAAGAUUGAAUACUUAGACUUAGAAAUAUUAAGAAGUACUAGUAAAAAAGUACAAACAGUUGAUAAUAGUAUAAUUAAGUGUAAUUUAGACAAUAAGCAUAAAUUACAUAGUUUAUUUUCAGAAGAUCCAAGUCAAAAUUGCAUAGUAGACUUAAUUAUAAAUUUAUCAAAAAAUUUAGAAUUAGAAAAUAAAAAGAAAAAUAGUUAUUUAGAAAUUAUAAAAGAAAACAUUACAUAUAGAGACCAAGAGAUUAAGAGUAUAAAAGAAUCUUUAGAUUAUAUUAAAAAUCAAAAUUCAAGUAUUUUAGAAAAACUUGUUAAAUUAGAAAAAAUACCAACUAAAGUAGAUUUAACAGAAAUAAAAAGAAUUUUAGAUUCUAAUAAAUCUAAAGAAAUAGAAAUAGGAGCUACAUCAAGUGUAGAAAAAGAUUUAAAAUCCUUAACAAAUACAUUAGAAAAAUUGAGUUUUAGAGACACAAGAAAAGAAAAGGUAACUAGAAAAUUGCCUAAAGAAUAUAAAUUUCCAAGAUGAAUACCAAUCCCUUCUUAGGAAGGUCUAGAACAAUAAAUGAAGAAGCAUCUACAUCUAGACAUAGUACUUCAAGUAUAAGCAGAAAUAUAAUAGAAAGAGUUUUAAACAGACCAGUACAAUAUAAUCAAAACAUAGAAGAAAUCAUAGAUCCUCAACAAGACUAUCAAAGAUUUCAAACUAAUGGUUUAAGAAUCCUUAACCCAGAAAUAUUAUAUAAUAGAGGAAUCUUUGAAACGAGAACACAAUUUUUUAGACACAGUAGAGAAGUAUCUGUUCAAUGUAUAGGAAAUCAAGUAAGAAAAUUAAAUUUAAUAUCAGAAGACUCUAAGAGAGAAUUAAAAAAGAAAAACUUUAGAUUUAUGCACCUAGGAUUAAUAGUUAUAGGAAUAAAAGGAUUAAUGAGAAAAAACUUACGAUGUAAAGUGUUAGUUACUAUAUAUGAUGAAAGAAUUAAUAAUAUAGAUAAGAGUAUGAUUGCAAGUACAGAAGUAGAUAUGAAUAAUAAUAAUGAAAUAAUUUAUUGUAAUCCAGAUUUUUUAUUAACCAUUAAAGACUUUCCAGAUAAAAUUAAAAUAGGAAUUCAAACAAAAGGAUAUGAAGAAGUAGAAAGUGGAGAUAACCUAUUGAUUAGUAUAGGAUUUUUAGGAAAAUGUUCAAAUAACUCUCAGACAAAAUAUAAAAUUUACAUAGAUAAAGUAGUAAACUUAAUGAGUAGUAAAUGAAUUAACAUGGUUAAACCAAAAGAAUAUUCAUCAGAACAAUUAGCAGGAUUAGAAUGAGAUAUGGAUAGAUUUUUAGAAAAUCAAGAAACAAUUAUAGCACCACAGGAAGCAUUAACUUAUAAAGAUAUUCAUGGAAGAACUAGUUUAAGAUUUUUAGAUUACAAUCAGGUACAAAGACAGAAUGAUUUUGAAGAAGAAACUAAUACUGAAGAGGAACAAAAUGAACCAUUUCAAAAUCAGGUUCAUCUAGAAUUAAUAGAUGAAGAAAAUGAUAGAAUAAUUUAUCCAAAAGAAUUAGGAAUGAAUUUAGAUAAUAAAGAAUUAUUAGAACUAGAAGACCAAAUGUAUCUUAAUAAAACAAUUACAGAAUCUGAAUAUUUAUAUUAUGAUCAAGAAAAGAACAUAAGAAUAGGAACUAUAUUCCGAAAAUUCAGAUUCUAGUUAUAUAAAAGAACUUAUGGAAGACUCAAAUACAUAUAGAACUUUUAGUGAUACUCCUUUUGAUAAAACAGUUAAACAUGAAGCAAUGAUUUAUAGUGGAGGAUUCCCCCCAAGAGGAGCUUACUCUUCAUAUAAUAACACAGAAGGAAAAUAUAUAGCAAGAGGAAGUGAAAGACCCUUAGAAAAGAAAAUAGAAUUUCAAUCAGAUCACAAAACACAAAUUCUAAAUAUUACAGCACAUGAUCCACAGACAUGGAAUAAUGUUAUAGAUGUAUGGAAGAAUACUAUAAUAGGACAUUAUAUUAGAAAUUUUCAAGAAAUGGAAGCUUUAGAUAUGUAUAGAUACUUAGAAACAUUUUUAGGAGAAAGUGUAAAAGCAAUGUGGGAAGCUUUUAAAUUAGAAAAGAAAUAAGAAUUUGAACAAUUAGUUAGUAUGGGAAGUAAUCCUUAUAAUUUUGUUAAUAAAAUACAGAUAUUAAUAACAGGAGCAGACCCUAAUUCAGGACACAUGAGUAUACAAAGAAAAGCUAUGAGAGAUUUAGAACAACUUAGUCUUUAUAAGUGGACUAAAGGAAGAUAUGUUAAGAACUUUUUAAACGAAUAUCAUUACUUAACUUCAAUAUCAGGAAAUACAUUUAAUCAAGAGAUAGGAAAUAAAUUGUUUCAUAAAUUACCAGGACCAUUAGGAUUAGAAAUUACAGAUAAAUGGAAUAAUUUGCCAUCAGUUAAAGAAGAACCAGAAAAACAAUGGAGUAUAGGACAAAGAAUACAANNNNNNNNNNNNNNNNNNNNNNNNNNNNNNNNNNNNNNNNNNNNNNNNNNNNNNNNNNNNNNNNNNNNNNNNNNNNNNNNNNNNNNNNNNNNNNNNNNNNNNNNNNNNNNNNNNNNNNNNNNNNNNNNNNNNNNNNNNNNNNNNNNNNNNNNNNNNNNNNNNNNNNNNNNNNNNNNNNNNNNNNNNNNNNNNNNNNNNNNNNNNNNNNNNNNNNNNNNNNNNNNNNNNNNNNNNNNNNNNNNNNNNNNNNNNNNNNNNNNNNNNNNNNNNNNNNNNNNNNNNNNNNNNNNNNNNNNNNNNNNNNNNNNNNNNNNNNNNNNNNNNNNNNNNNNNNNNNNNNNNNNNNNNNNNNNNNNNNNNNNNNNNNNNNNNNNNNNNNNNNNNNNNNNNNNNNNNNNNNNNNNNNNNNNNNNNNNNNNNNNNNNNNNNNNNNNNNNNNNGCUUAGAAGAAAAAAGUCUUAUUGAAAAAGAAGAAGUUAAUUCAGAAAUUUUAAAAGAAAAAAUUGAAAUAUCAGAAAUAAAAAUUCUUAGGAAGAGAAUUGAAAGUUUAGAAGAAAUGCAGAAAUUUAUAAUAAAUAAGAUAGAAAUGUUAGAAUAUAAUAAUAAAGGAAAAGCAAUAGAAACAGAAGAACAUAGUCAAGGUUUAGAAUAUAAAGAAAAAGAAUAUGUUCAAGUAAUAUGUAAUUCAGAAAAGCUUAAAAGUAUUAAGGUAAAAUGCUAUAUAAGAAUAGGACAGUACGAAAUAAAAUGUUUAGGAUUAAUAGACUCAGGAUGUAGUAAUUGUAUAAUUAAUAAAAAAUUAAUACCAGAACAAUAUAUAAUAUAUUCAGAUAAACCAAUAGAAGCACAACAAAUGGAUGGAGAACUUUAUACUUAUAAAGAAUUAUUACAAUCAAAUAGUAAGAUUAGUUUUGAGACAAAUUGUGGUAGAAGUAUAGAAUAUACCUUACCAAAAGAAUCCGUAUGGGUUAGACCUUUAAAUAUCAAGGAUACAGAUUUUAUUAUAGGACUAAGUUUUUUAUUAAAAGACAAUGGAAGUGUUACAAUUACUAAAGAUUUCUUACAUUUACAAAAACAUACCCUAUUUACACCAACACAGACCACUUAUUUCCCAUCAGAGUGCAUAGAGAAGCGUUGUGGAAAUAGUAGUAAUAAUUGUAAGUAUGAAAAAGAAAGAGAAUGUCAAUUAAUAGAAGAAGAUAAUUUAGAAGAAAUUACAAAAGAAGAUGAAUUAGAAGACAUGGACUUUGGAACUAUAGAGUUAAUUGAUAAUGAAAAAAUUUAUGAUAUACUAAUAACAGAACAAGAAAUAAAAAAUUUAAUAUCUAGAUUAGAAAAGAUGGAAAUUAUAGGUGAAAAUGUUCUAAAAUAUUGGGAAAAAGAUAAAAUCCUAUGUGAGUUAAAAAUAAAAAAUCCAGAAUACAUAAUUAAAACUAAGAAUAUAGAAGCUACAAAUUUAGACAUAGAAGAUUUUAAAACACAUAUAAAAGAACUCUUAGAAUUAGGAGUUAUUAGAAAAUCAGAUAGUCCUCAUAGAUCAGCAGCUUUUAUAGUUAGAAAACAUUCAGAAAUUGUUAGAGGAAAAAGCAGAAUGGUUAUCAAUUAUAAAAGAUUAAAUGAUAAUACUAUAGAUGAUGCUUAUAACAUACCAGACAAGACAGUUUUAAUAAAUAAAAUACAAGACUGUAAAAUUUUUAGUAAAUUUGAUUUAAAAUCAGGAUUUUGGCAAGUAAAGAUGCACCCAGAAAGUAUUAAGUGAACAACCUUUACCUGUCCAGAAGGACAUUUUGAAUUGCUUGUAAUGCCAUUUGGAAUUAAGAAUGCACCAAGUAUUUUUCAAAGAAAAAUGGAAAGUAUUUUUAAUAGACAUAGUAAGUUUGUAAUAGUAUAUAUUGAUGAUAUUUUAGUUUUUAGUAAAAAUAAACAAGAACAUAGAGGACANNNNNNNNNNNNNNNNNNNNNNNNNNNNNNNNNNNNNNNNNNNNNNNNNNNNNNNNNNNNNNNNNNNNNNNNNNNNNNNNNNNNNNNNNNNNNNNNNNNNNNNNNNNNNNNNNNNNNNNNNNNNNNNNNNNNNNNNNNNNNNNNNNNNNNNNNNNNNNNNNNNNNNNNNAAAGGAAAUUUAAGUAGCAUAGAUGCAGAAUUAUUAGCUAUAAAUUAUGCACUAGAUAGUUUUGAAUUAUUUAUUAUAUCCAAGAAAGAAAUAACAAUAAGAACAGAUUGUGCAGCCAUAGUUUCCUUUGUCAAUAAAAUGAAAAUAGAUUCAAAAAGAAGUAGUAGAAGAAGGUGGUUAAAUUUUAUUGAUAGAAUCACUAAUACAGGGAUUAAUAUAGAAUUUGAGCAUAUUAAAGGUAGUGAUAAUAAAGCAGCAGAUAUAUUAAGUAGAAUAAUAAUAGAUAGAAACUAUUAAAUUUGUUUAAUAUAAUUUCUUUAUACAGAUGACAAGGCCAACACCUAUAAGACCAGGAAUUCCACCAGGGAAUUCAUUUGCAUCAAGACUAUUACCACAAACUCCAUUUAAUCAGAACAGACCAAUGUUACAAGACAGACUAAGGUUUGGAAACCAAGAACUCAUAGUCUUUCCAAAUAGUAAUAUUUCUUUUAAAAUUUUACCGCAUAUUUCUUUAUCUAGAGAAGAGAAAUGUAUCUUAGACAAUUUAUGGAUUUCUUAUAAUAAGAAUCCAAAAGACCAAAAAUAUUUUCUUGCAUGCAUGAAUGCAUUAUCAGAACAUUUUAGUCAGAACAAGCAAAGGUUUAAAUUUUAUGUUGUCAUUAAAGGAAGAACUCCAGGAUUUUUUCAUACCUGGUUAGAAGUUAUAGAUUGCAUUAAAAAUUUUCCAGAACCUAUUUACAAAGGUUUUACAAAUUUUCAAGAAGCAUUAGAUGUUGCAAGACAACAGAUAGGAAUAAAUUUUUAUUUAUCUCCUUCUUUGAAGAAUUACUCAGACCCUCCAUUAGAUUUUUCUCCAAGUAAAGACCAGAAUAUUUUCUGCCAACAUUGUGAAUGUAUGCAGAGAAAUUUCAAAGUUAUCAAUGAAGCCAAUCAGAACCUUUCAUUAGAAAGAACUCAACUUCAAAAGAAAGUGGCCCAAUUAGAAAAAGAGAUCUUGAAUUUAAAAGUCCAUUAUCCAACAGGUACUAUGGAGCCCAAGAAGUCCAUAGCUAGUCCAGCCCAAAUGGUAGCUGGUAAAGACUCAUCAAAUCCGUUAAAGGUUGUGGACUUACCAAAAGCCCAACAGACUCAGGGGACUGUUGAUUCUCCUACUAAAUUAGAUGAUCAGACUCAGCAGACUGAUAAAUCUGCUACAGAAAAAGGUAAAGAGAUUUGGGAUCUCUUAGGACAGCCCAAUGGAAAAUUUGAUUAUUUAGUCAAAUAUAGUCCACCAGAACAUUUUUCCUCAGAACAUUUUUCAAAUAACCCAGAAUUUUCACAAGCCCAAGAAUUUCAAUCUAGUAAGGGAAAAGAAAAAAUGGUAGUCCAAGAUAGUCAAGAAUGUUUAUUUUUUCAAGAAUCACAAGAUCCAAAUCCAGAUACUGCCUCUUUAGAAAAGAUCUUUGAGAAAAUUGAAGAACUCCAAAAACAAUCUAAAAAAGAUGAAGGGAAUUCUUCUAGAAAAAAGAAAAAGAUUAAGAAGAAGAAAAAUGAUGAAGGACUAAAAGAACAAAUAAGAGAAGCAGUUAACCAAGCAUUCGAGACAAUAUUAAAAAAGAGCCAUGAAGAAGAAAAAGAAAUUGCAGAAUGUCCAGAUCAGAAAGAAAAAGAUGAAGCCAGUAACUCCAGACUUUCAGAUGAAGACGAAGAUCCACAUGAAGAAGGAUACAAUAAUUCAGAUAGUGGAAUGUCAUUUUCAUCAGUGGCACGUCAUAAUCUCAGUACAUAAUCAGAUCAUCAAUAAUGCAGAACAAGACAAAAGUGAUGGAAGAAAAGAAGGAAAAACUGAAGAUCCUUAUCACAUUACUAUAGACCUUUUGAUUUUUGAAGAAAGAUGUCAGAAACUUUUAGACUUUUACGUAAAUUGGUAGAAAUUUCAAGAUUCCUAAACUGUAGACUUUUAGACUUUUGUAAAAGUAGGAAAUUUUCUUUCCACUUGUUAGAUCUAUCUUGAAUUAGCCAGAAGUUUCUCGGUGAAACGUGUGCUCUUUUCAAGGAUAUUUUAGACUUUUUGCUCUCAAGAAUUUUUCUAUUUAAGGAACAAGUUUCAUUCAGGUUUAGGCAGAAGUUUACAACCUGUGUACUCUCUGCUAUUCAAAAACCUUUUGAAACCUUUCUCAGAAAAAUUCUCAAUCCAAAAAAUCAUUGUAUAGUUGAAUCAUCCUUGUGAAUAUUUAAGGUAUUUUUGUAUUUCUUUAAGUUUAUUUUAGAACCUUAGGAACUUCCCGAAAGGGAAAUCCUUAGUUGUAAAUUUUUUAAAAGAUAAAUUUAUAAAUCCCUGAUUUAUGUUUUAUUAGUUUAUGUUCAUAUUUUUGUAUUUAUGUUUUAAGUAAAUAUCUGUUAUGUUUCUCAUUUCAUCCUAUGCAUAUAAUAAAAGCAUAACUUGAUUUUUAGAAGUCAUACUAUUUUUAGGUUAAUCCUGAGUGACCCAGAUGAAUGAAAACUUUUGGCCGGAGUGAGCCUUUUUGAUGUUUUCUAGAGAUGCUGGGGAAAGGGAGAAAUUAAUCUAAGAAUUUUAUAAGGGAGUGCCACGGGUAACCUUAUAAAAAGAAAUCAGGUUCAAGUUUAUAUGUCAUAGGUGGUGAAAAUUUAAAUGAAAAAAAAAGGGGGAUUUAUACAUGAUUCUUAAGAAAGAUUUAUAGAAAAUUAAGGAGAGUACUGAGUAGGAUUAAAGCUAUUAAAAGUAAAACAUCCAUCUUAAAACAGCAUACCCCCCAUUUGGUAUAUAUAUAUAUAUAUAUAAUGGAGAAACCAAUUGAAAUGAAACAGCUCCAUGAUGGGCUCUAAAGAAAUUCUAGACAUGGAUAAAAGUCUCAUGUUCAAAUAUAUUCACAUCAAAUAGGCCGGCUGUUGUAUUAUAUUGAAAUCUCAACAAGUAGAUAUACAGUGUAGAAGCUGUACAAAUGUGACGAUUAAGGCUCCAACUAGUCAGCCCAUUAAAAGUAUUUUCUUAUUCAAAGCAGACGUGGGAAAAUAGAAAUAGAAUAAAUUGAUUAUAAACCGAAAAUGUAACGUCAAAUGGCGUGCUAAUUUAUUAAAUUUUAAGGCGCAGUUUGGCUAUAAUAUUCAAAUGUUAUCUACUACACCACCGCUAUAUAUACCAUGUUCAGCUGCUGUUUCCUGCACAGCUCUUCACUUCUUCUCUAUUGUAACUCACUUAACUUUUCAACGAGUCUUCAUAGGUUAUACUAUUCAAGGUAAAUAUGGGUAUCUCCAAUUAUUUCCAUGAACUCAAAACUAAUGUUUCUCCCAAGAGGCUGUUCAAGGCUUUGAUCACCGAUAACCACGAUGUUUUGCCGAAAGUCUCCCCAUCCAUCAAGAGCAUUGAGACAAUUGAAGGAGAUGGUGGUGCUGGAAGUGUCAAAAAAAAACAAACUUUUCUGAAUCUGAAGGUUAGUCCAAAUAUUAAAAUCGCAAAAAAAGAAUGAGAACGUAAUAUUUUGUAUAUAUGUAGUACUAUUGUGUUAAAGGUCCUUCUUCUUCUUCUUUUUUUUUUUUCCCCUUUUUUUUAAAUUUUUAAAUUUUUUAUUAUUUUUAUUAUUUUUACGACACCAGACAAAAUAAAACAUGUCCGAAGUUUUGUUCAUUUUACAUACUCUCAUGAGCAUUUGCGUUAUAUAACAGGGUCUCACUUCAAGAACAUGAAGACCAAGGUUGACUCCUUGGACAAAGAAAACUACGUGGCCAAGUUCACUUUGGUUGAGGGAGAUGCCCUUGGUGAUGAGCUUGAAAAGGUAUGUUACGAGAUGAAAUUCGAGGACUCAAAGGAUGGAGGAUGUGUCCUCAAGAUCACCAGUGAGUAUCAUUCAAAGGGUGAUAUUGUACCUAAAGAAGAGGAUAUUAAAGCAGCACAAGAACAUACUAUGGAGCUCUACAAGUCUUGCGCAGAUUACCUGAUUGCCAAUCCUCAUGUUUGUGUCUAAAUAAAAAACUUUGUUCUACUCUUCCAUUGAAGUUUGUUCUUAUCCAACUAUUAUCCAAAUUUACUGUACAACAUUAAGAUGAAAUUUUAGCAAUGUUCAGGUCGUUGCCUUAAUAAAGCGAAUUUGUUUGUUUAUUUCCAUUCACGUCUAUUUAUUCCUAUUUCAUGUCGAAUUUUCAAUGAAUAGUACCAAAUUUCAUCAAAUUACAUGUGAGCUUGCUAUUUAUAUAUGUUUCAUUGCACGUAAAUUUCAGUUGCAAAGAAAUUUAAUCUAGAUAUGGACUACUUAAAACUGCCGUUUGAUUGCAAAAGUGAAAAGGCAAAUUAAUUCCAUGUAAGUUGGAAAAAAAAAACUACCAAAAUCAUACGAAUGCAUUUUCCAUGAAAUUGGCCAAAAACAUGCUUUUGAGUGUUUGUACCCUAAAAUUCAAACUCCAUUUCCACUUUCAUAUCAAACAGCUAAAAUAGAAAACGAAUUCCUCGGAUAUAACAUUUUCCAUGGAAUUGAAGUCAAUCAAACGGAGCGUAGGAUCCCUUUAAUAAUUACCUGAUCCAAGAAACGAAUAAGGACAGAAAAAACUGUGGAAUAGUUACAUCUAACUUUUGUACGUUGGAUUUUUUGCAUCAUUAAAUGAAGUUACUUUUAGGGUCUGUUUAAAUGCAAAGAUGGAAUUUGGAUGGAAAGAAAACGAAUUCUAGAAAAUUGAAUUGUCUAGAAUUGUUUACUGAAAAUUGUCAAUUAUUGUGUUUGAUUGGUAUAAUUUUUUACGCAAAAAAUGUUGAAAUAAAAGUAUUUUUUGUUAUUCGUUUGACUUUGUUUUACAUGAAAAUUGUCAAUUAAAUGGAUAGAUUUACUGUUAUUGGGGGAUAGAAUUUGUUUUCAUUGUCAAAAAAAGACAAGAAAAUCAUAUAUUUUUUUAUGUUCGUUUAACUUUGUUUUACAUGAAAAUUGUCAAUCAAAGAAAAAUAUUUUUUUAUAAUUAGGGAUAGACUUUGUUUUCAUUGUCACAAAAAAAUAAAAAAAUAAAAAAAUAAAAGGGGCAACGAAGAAAACCAAUUCCCAGCUAACCCACAAGAAUACAAAUUCCUCAUUUUUUUCGUGAAAAACAAGUCACAUGCCAAAAUACUAGAAAACAAAUUGCCAGGAAAUAUUGCCUAACAAACAUGGCAAAAAGUGGAAAAUGGCAUUUUCAAUUCCAACUUCCAUAGAAAAUAUGACGCAUCAAACGGAGCCUUAUUAUUAACACAUUAUUAUAAUCGAGAAAUAGAUAAACAUAUAAUCCUUUUUAUUUUUAUUUUUAUGAAGACUAAUAAGGAUAAUGAUGUUAAGUCCGGCGCAAGUUCAAAAUCAAGUGUGACCCCCUUGAGCUGUAGAUUCCACAACAGAAAUAUUGCAUACUAUUUGAAAGUGUAACCAAGAUUAUUCUUAAUCGAUUUUGACAAAAUUUAAAGCUAAUUGCAUAUAAUUUGAAUCAUGCUGAUUAUUCUUAAUCGAUUUUGGGAAAAUUUAUAAUUGUUUAUGGUAGCUAUGAAACAUAUGUUCAAGUUAUCCUUAGAGAAUGUUUGAUUAUAUGCUAACAUUGACCCAAAUUUUGCCAAUUUUUCAUUUUAGUCCCUAGCUUUCUUCAAAUGUACAGUUUGAUCCUUUUUUAUUUCUUUUCUGUCUUUAGCCUUUCUUAUUUACCCAUUUGAUCCGCAGCACUCUCCAAUCGUCGAUAUAAUGUCUGAAUCAUCUUUUCAGAGUUUGCAAUUUGGACCUCAGACUUUUAAUUUCUUUCAUUUUUGUCCAUUUUUCGCUAAUUUCCUCCAAUCAUUUUUGCACCGAAUUUCUCCUAACAAAUGAAAUAUAUUCAAAAUUAAGCCAUUACAGCAAUCAAUCUAAUUCAAUGGGUCAAAUAAAUAUAAAAAAAAUACACUUAUCAAUGAGGCAAGAUCGUUCAAAAAAAUAGGUGAAGACACAUGACAAAAAGAGAGAAGAGACGGAGUUUGCUAGGAGACUUGUGGAGUACAUUCGAAUCAAAGUGAUAAUUAAGUGGUUAUUUAUGUCAUUUUGUAUACAUUUAAUUUAGCAAAUAAAAAAAAUACUGAAAAUGUCUGCAAAGAAAACACAACUAUGGGUAUAACAAAAGAUUUGCGUGGUGACAAUAUAGUCAUCCAUUGUUAAAACAAUCAAGGGAGAGUUUCGAAUAGGUUUUCAUCAAUUUCAAAUUUUUAUGCCGAAGGUUAUUCAUUUCAAACCAGAAGUAUUGCAUAGAAUAUGACUGGAUAAGUAUGCUGAUUGUUCUUAAUUGAUUUUAUGAGAAUUCUAAAUAGUUAAUGUUAUUUGAUCAAUUGCCGAAUAAAAAAAUAAUUAGGAUUGAAAAAAACUAAUUUAACAUGGUAAACUCAGUCUUACAGACUCAAAUUAAAUUCCACUUCAAAAAAGGAUACUUUCAUUUCAAACUUUUGAAACUAAUGUUGAUUGUUCAUUUACUAUCCGAUUUAGGUUGGCCUUACGUGCAGAAUUAAUCUAUUAAAAGCAACAAAUCACUUUUUAAUAGUUUCUAGAUGGUUAUUCAAACAGUCCAAUUAUCCUAAGCUAAAUUACCGUAUUUUCUACUUUGAAAACAAUAAAUAACACCAAUAUUGUUGACGGAGAAAUCUCAACUAAGUAAAAACUCCGGAACCAAAUCAGUUACCUCCACUAUAGAUAAUGAGCUUUACAGUUAGAUACUAUCUAACCAACUCUACAAGACUUUUCGAUCUACGUCCUAUAAUCUUCAAGAUACCACUGUCUCCUCCAACUCCCCGAUCUUGUACAAUUGUCUUUUUCAAGUGGAAUUCCAAGAAUCUUCAAUUCUUGUGCUUUUUCUGCGCUUUUAGUCUAACCUUCCUCAAUCUUUUAAAUGAAGCUCAUUUUGCAUGUAUAUUUUGAUCUUUUAUUUUUUCUUCCCUAACUUUGAGUAUACAUCUUUCACAUUUAUCAAUAUUUUUAAAACUCAUCAAUUUUUACAUUUUAAGUGCGACUAAAAUGAUCCCUGUAGCGAGCUUUAGGCUGGUUAACUUAAGUCAACUGACCAUAGGCACAAGGUUUUGAGACACCCUGCAUGCUUAAUUUCUCAAGUCAAAUAGGCUCUAAAGAAGAACAUAAGAUAUUGAACUUUGUAUUAUAAGGGGAUAUACUUGAGCAAAUGUGCAUGUACCAAUGCGAAUAUAAUGAAAAUGCACAUACAUGAAACUACCUAGAAAAGAAAAUAAACAAAUAUGAUGCAUGCAUAAAUCAAUGAGACAUAAUGAUAAACACAAGCAUGCACCAAGAUUACCUGGUCAGUUAGGUAAAGAGACAUUUUACCUUUAAGAGCACCGUGAUCUAUUUUAAAAUUUUCUUGGUCACUCUUUUUCACCCAAAUUUGCCUAGUGGGAGAACAAUUCCAAAACAAUUGUGUCACCAACUUGGUAAAUCGACUCACUCAAUCAGUGGAAUCAAAUCUAACCAACAAACUCCUGAUCUUUACUCCUAUUUAAGCUGUUGUUUCUAUGUCUGUUCAACAAUUGAUGACACCUAAGGCGUAUGUGUCCUAUCUAACUAUAGUGAAAGUAUGUAGGGAUAAACUAGGACUAAAGUUAUGUGGUCGUUGAUGUCUAUUCCUAGGUUGAUGGGUCCUACGCUGUCUAGUAGGCCUCUGUCCUACAAAUCCUUUAUUCUUUAGUUCAGGGUUAGGCGCAUGUUUAGAUUGGUCCUAUGCUGUCUAGUAGGCCUCUGUCCUACAAAUCCUUUAUUCUUUAGUUCAGGGUUAGGCGCAUGUUUAGAUCGGUCAGUGGCAAGAAUAAAAGUGAUCUUUGAAAUACUCACAUUGUUGUGAUUAUUCUCUUUAAAACCUAGACUUCCCUAUUACCAGUCGAUUUUCUCAUGAGGAUGUUAUCUAGUUUCAACGAACCUCUAGAAAAGGCAAGAAACUUUGAAUACUCAAUGUUGUUCAGAAGGUUCUUAACCUGGAUUUUUAACUUCUCAUUCUCAAUAGUUGGCAUACUAGCUUUCUUAGAGGACUUCUCAAGCUCACUAGUAAGAUUCUUAACCUGAGUAUCCAAGGAUUCAGUUACAGACUUUAACUUACUUAGGGAUAAGGUAAAUUCCUGAAGGUCAGUUAAAUGUUUCUCUCUCUCAGACUCAAGUUCAUUGACCUUAGCACACAAGGCUUUAUUCUUAGUCAUAAUCUUAAUAUACUCUUCAUACAUUUUAUCAUACACCUCAUGUAUAUCUUUCUCACUUUCAGAAUCUGAUUUCUCAUCACCAUCUACAUCCUUAACCUUUUCACUCUCCUGAUCAGAUCUACUCCUAAUCGUAGCAAUGAAGGUAAUGUAUUUCUUAUUCUCCUCAUGAAUGAUUUCUAAGAUAUCACAAACAUCUUUAGCAACCUCAUACAUUGAUACUCGCCUAAACACGUUAGGUAAUAUUGCCAUAAAUAGAGUAUGUAAGGCUUUACUAUUCCAAUUACACUUAUCUAAGUUCGUUUUAGUCCAAUUAGCAAUAGAAAUGGGAGUUAUUACAUUAUCAACUGUAGUACUAGCGGCAAUCCAACCAUUAACUACACUCAACCAAAUCCGUUCAUCCAUAAAUUUAAGGAAAGCUUUCAUCCUAACUUUCCAAUAUACAUAAUUACUGCCAUCAAAAUAUGGCAGGAUGGAUAGUGAACUACUCAUCUAAAUAAAUUAAGGUAAAGAAGGCUCUGAUACCACUUGAAAGUUCGUUUACCAUCCGAUUUAGUUUGACCUUACAUGUCGAAUUAUUCUAUUAAAAGCAACAAGUCACUUUUUUAUAGGUUCUAGAUGGUUAUUCAAAUAGUCAAAUUAUCCUAAGUUGAAUUACCACAGUUUGUACUAUGAAAGCAAUAAAUAGCACUAAUAUUGUUGACAGAGAAACCUCAACUGGGUAAAAAUUUCGAGACCAAGCCAGUUAUCUGUAAUAUCCCGAAAUUUCAUAGAAUAGAAUUUAAUUAUUGUGUGCUAUAUUUUAAUGUAUUGAAAGUUUAGGGACCAAAGUACAUAUAAAGUAAAUUUCAAUUUUUUUUGGGUUAAAAUGUAGAUGUUGACGGAGGGACAAUAAGUAUAUGAAUAUUAAACUCGUUGGAUAGAUGGUAAUUAAUCAUGCAUAUUAGGCUCGUAAAAAAGUUAAUUUCGAUUAGCGGAGCCCAAGUUAUCGAGAUCAAAAGAUAUNNNNNNNNNNNNNNNNNNNNNNNNNNNNNNNNNNNNNNNNNNNNNNNNNNNNNNNNNNNNNNNNNNNNNNNNNNNNNNNNNNNNNNNNNNNNNNNNNNNNNNNNNNNNNNNNNNNNNNNNNNNNNNNNNNNNNNNNNNNNNNNNNNNNNNNNNNNNNNNNNNNNNNNNNNNNNNNNNNNNNNNNNNNNNNNNNNNNNNNNNNNNNNNNNNNNNNNNNNNNNNNNNNNNNNNNNNNNNNNNNNNNNNNNNNNNNNNNNNNNNNNNNNNNNNNNNNNNNNNNNNNNNNNNNNNNNNNNNNNNNNNNNNNNNNNNNNNNNNNNNNNNNNNNNNNNNNNNNNNNNNNNNNNNNNNNNNNNNNNNNNNNNNNNNNNNNNNNNNNNNNNNNNNNNNNNNNNNNNNNNNNNNNNNNNNNNNNNNNNNNNNNNNNNNNNNNNNNNNNNNNNNNNNNNNNNNNNNNNNNNNNNNNNNNNNNNNNNNNNNNNNNNNNNNNNNNNNNNNNNNNNNNNNNNNNNNNNNNNNNNNNNNNNNNNNNNNNNNNNNNNNNNNNNNNNNNNNNNNNNNNNNNNNNNNNNNNNNNNNNNNNNNNNNNNNNNNNNNNNNNNNNNNNNNNNNNNNNNNNNNNNNNNNNNNNNNNNNNNNNNNNNNNNNNNNNNNNNNNNNNNNNNNNNNNNNNNNNNNNNNNNNNNNNNNNNNNNNNNNNNNNNNNNNNNNNNNNNNNNNNNNNNNNNNNNNNNNNNNNNNNNNNNNNNNNNNNNNNNNNNNNNNNNNNNNNNNNNNNNNNNNNNNNNNNNNNNNNNNNNNNNNNNNNNNNNNNNNNNNNNNNNNNNNNNNNNNNNNNNNNNNNNNNNNNNNNNNNNNNNNNNNNNNNNNNNNNNNNNNNNNNNNNNNNNNNNNNNNNNNNNNNNNNNNNNNNNNNNNNNNNNNNNNNNNNNNNNNNNNNNNNNNNNNNNNNNNNNNNNNNNNNNNNNNNNNNNNNNNNNNNNNNNNNNNNNNNNNNNNNNNNNNNNNNNNNNNNNNNNNNNNNNNNNNNNNNNNNNNNNNNNNNNNNNNNNNNNNNNNNNNNNNNNNNNNNNNNNNNNNNNNNNNNNNNNNNNNNNNNNNNNNNNNNAGAUAGUGAAAAAAUUGUAAGAUAUAAUAGUGGAAAUUAUAAAGAAAAAGGUAAUAUAAGUAGCAUAGAUUUAGAAUUACUUGCAAUUAAUUAUGCAUUAAAUUCUUUUGAAUUAUUCAUUAUUUCUAAAAAAGAAAUUACUUUAAGAACAGAUUGUGAAGCAAUAAGUAGAAUAAUUAAAAAUAAAGAAUAUGAUUGAUUAUUUCUUGCAGAUGCAAAGACCAAGAGGUCCCAGGCCAGGAUUGCCNNNNNNNNNNNNNNNNNNNNNNNNNNNNNNNNNNNNNNNNNNNNNNNNNNNNNNNNNNNNNNNNNNNNNNNNNNNNNNNNNNNNNNNNNNNNNNNNNNNNNNNNNNNNNNNNNNNNNNNNNNNNNNNNNNNNNNNNNNNNNNNNNNNNNNNNNNNNNNNNNNNNNNNNNNNNNNNNNNNNNNNNNNNNNNNNAUAAUUUAUGGAUUUCUUAUAAUAAGAAUCCUAAAGACCAAAAAUACUUUUUAGCAUGUUUAAAUGCUCUUUCAGAACAUUUUAGUCAAGACCAUAAAAAAUUUAAGUGUUAUGUUGUUUUACAAGGUAGACUUCCAGGAAUUUAUCAUACCUGGUUAGAAGUCUCAGAUUGCAUAAAAAAUUUUCCAAAUCCUCUUUAUAAAGGAUUUUAUUCAAUUUCAGAAGUAUUAGAAGAAUGUAGAAAAUUUUUAGGAAUUAAUUAUUUUGUUGCCCCUUCUUUAAAGAAUGUUUCAGAUCAGCCUUUAGAUUAUGUUUCUAAGUUUUGUGAACAUUGUGAAUUUAUGAUUAAGAAUUUUAAAAUUUUAAAUGAAUCCAAUCAGUCUUUACAACAAAAAAAAUUAAUUUUACAAAAGAAAAUUUCUGAAUUAGAACAAGAAAUCAUUAAUUUAAAGAUCUCAAAUCCAAUUGUUCAGACACAAGCAGGUACUAUAGAGCCCAAGAAUUCUAUAGCUAGUCCAGUUCAAACGGAAGCUGGUAAAGACUUAUCAAAUCCGUUUAUGGUUCUGGGCUUACCAAAAGCUCAACAGACUCAGGGGACUGUUGAUUCUCCUACUUUUCAAUUUAAUCAGACUCAACAGGCUGAAAAUCCUGUUACAGAAAAUAAAAAUAUUUCUGAAGACCAGACACAGCAGACUGGAAAUUCUGCUACUAGACUUAUAAGUCCAAUGGAUCUUAAACAGAAAAGCCCAAUUAAUUUUCCAGAAUCAUUUCAAUCAGCUCAAGAUCCAGAAUAGAUUUCUCAAUCAGAUAUUAGAAGAAUCAAAGAAAUGAUUGAUAAGAUUGAAGAAAUACAGCAACAAGUUAAACAAAGUACUACAAAGAAAAAGAAAAUACAGAUUAAAAAGAAAAAUAAAGGCAAAAAGAAAAUUGAACAAGAAAAAGCUUUGGAUAAUUUUGAAAACAAUAAUUCAGAAGAAGAUGAUAAUCCAGAAGGAUGUACUGACGGAGGAGACUCUUUAGACAGCAUUGGCAGACACAAUUAUGAAACAAGAUAAGGAUUCAUUCAGACAUUUGACAAAAAGUUAUGGUGAUAGACAAGAGUUUUCAGACUAGACCCAAUCACUUGAAGACUUUUGUCCAAGAUUUCAAGAAAAAAUCAACAAUUAUUGUACGAAAAGUAGAAUCUUUACUGUUUUCUUUUUGAAAAAUUUGUAAAGAAUCUUACUGUUUUAUAAAGUAAGAUUUGAUAGUAUAGCUUUUUACUGUUUUCUUUUUGACGUUUUGAAAAAAACAAAGAUUCCUUGUUUUUGAAAAACGCUUCCUCUCUCUUUUCUCUCCUAUANNNNNNNNNNNNNNNNNNNNNNNNNNNNNNNNNNNNNNNNNNNNNNNNNNNNNNNNNNNNNNNNNNNNNNNNNNNNNNNNNNNNNNNNNNNNNNNNNNNNNNNNNNNNNNNNNNNNNNNNNNNNNNNNNNNNNNNNNNNNNNNNNNNNNNNNNNNNNNNNNNNNNNNNNNNNNNNNNNNNNNNNNNNNNNNNNNNNNNNNNNNNNNNNNNNNNNNNNNNNNNNNNNNNNNNNNNNUCCGGUAGGUAUGCUUUAUAGUUCUAAGAUAUGGUGCUAAGAGUUAAUAUUAGUUCCGGAUCUUGUAAGAACAAUUUUUGUUCAUAAAUUUUUCAUUUUGUAAAAGUUUUAUGAUUUUUGUAAAGAGUUUUAUGUUUCACGCUGAGUAUAUGAUAAUAGCAUGUCUUAACUCCAAGUUAAAAGUUUAAACUGUUUUUAAAAUAAGCCCUGAGUGACCUCUCAAAGCGUAAAGGCCCAGUGAAGAGGCUAGGAGACGCAUCGAAGAGGGAAAGGGAUCACUGUUUUAAGAAUUCUUGUUAAGGGAGUGCCAGUGGUGUCCUUACAAGAAUGGAGUUAGGCCCAAAUUCAUAUAUCUCAGAUGGCAUGAUUUAAAAAAAAAAAAAAAAAAAAAAAAAAGAGAGAUAUUAUUUUAUCAAAAGAAAAAGACAUCUAAAUUAAGAAGAGUACUGAGUAGGAUUUUUCAUAAUUUGUUUUAACAACCCCCUACAACAACCUUCAAAUCCUUGAAAUAACCUUUUUCAGGGACCCCCCCUUCUUUGGUAUCAUAGCUUUUGUUCCGAUGCUGGUGAUUUCAGUAUAUUUCUUCAGAUUUUGGAAAAGGUAUAACUCUUUUAAUCCUUAGAAAAUACUUAAUUGUUUUAUGAUUUUUAGAUUUUUAUUUGUAGAUCUAGAAAAAAUAUUCUAUAGUUUUACAUUUUAUAAAGAAAUAGAAGAGAUUUUUGAAUCCGGUAUAUAAUUAAUUUCUUUUGAAAAAUAUAAAUCUAUAGACUAUUUAUUUGCUAUAUUACAAGUGACUAAAAAUUUACAACUAGAAUUAAAAGAACAGAUUUUAUAUAGAUCUUUAAUUUCAGAAUUUAGAGAAGAAUAUUUUAUAAAUAGUUUUGAUCAGAUAUUUAUAUCAGAUUUAAAAUUAAGGAUUGAAUUAGAUAAUAUAGAUAAUAAUUAUUUAUCAGAUCAUACAAAUUUUUCAUUAGAUUCUUUUUAUUAUUCAGAUUAGAGUUUUAAAACUGGAUCUUUUAAUAAAAGAAAAUAAUAAAUUAACUAGAGAAUUAAGUACUUUUGGAAAAAGAAUCUUUAAUAUUGAGAAAGAUAUUAAUAAAAUUCGUGAAAACCUAGAUUUUAUUAAAGAACAAAAUUUAACAAUUUUAAACAAAAUUUCUAGAGUAGAAGAUAAAGAAAAAUUUCCAGAUCUUAAGACUACAGAAGCAAUAGAAAAUAUAAAUAAAAAAUUAAAUAAUAUAGAAAAUAAACUAAAUCAAGAAAUUGAAAAUAUAAUAAAUAAUCUAGACAGAUUAAGUUUAAAAAAUACAGGUAAAGAAAAAAUAACUAAAAAAUUAUCUACAACAUUUUAUAAAAUAUGAAUAAUUUUCCUGGUAGAUCAAGAACUAUUAGAGAAGUAGGAUCAUCUUCAGAACCCUAUGAUAGAGGUAGACAUAGUACUUCUAAUAUAAGUACAAAUAUAAUAGAAAGAAUUUUACAUAGACAGCCUCAGUAUAAUCAGAAUAUAGAAGAACUUAUAGAUCCUGAACAAGAUUAUAAUAGAUUUCAAACUCAUGGUCUACAAUUACUUAAUCCAGAAAAUCUAUAUAAUAGAGGAAUUUUUGAAUCAAGAACCCAAUUUUUUAGACAUACUAGAGAAGUAUCAAUUCAAUGUUUAGAUGGUCAAGUAAGACAAUUAUCAUUAAUAUCAGAAGAAUCUAAAAAAGAAUUAAGAAAAAAGAAUUUUAGAUUUAUGCAUCUAGGAUUAAUAGUAAUAGGAAUUAAAGGAUUAAUGAGAAAAAAUUUAGGAAAUAAAGUUUUAUUAACUAUUUAUGAUAAAAGAAUCCAAAAUAUAGAAAAGAGUAUGAUAGCUAGUACAGAAGUAGAUAUGAAUGAUAAUAAUGGAAUUAUAUAUUGUAAUCCAGAUUUCUUAUUAACCAUAAAAGAUUUUUCAGAAAAAAUUAAAAUAGGAAUUCAAACACAUGGAUAUGAAGAUGUUGUUUCAGGAGAAAACUUAUUAAUAAGUAUAGGAUUUUUAGGAAGAUGUAGUAAUAAUUCCCAAACAAAAUAUAAAUUAUACAUAGAUAAAGUAAUAAAUUUAAUGAGUAGUAAAGGAAUAAAAAUGAUUAAGCCUAAAACNNNNNNNNNNNNNNNNNNNNNNNNNNNNNNNNNNNNNNNNNNNNNNNNNNNNNNNNNNNNNNNNNNNNNNNNNNNNNNNNNNNNNNNNNNNNNNNNNNNNNNNNNNNNNNNNNNNNNNNNNNNNNNNNNNNNNNNNNNNNNNNNNNNNNNNNNNNNNNNNNNNNNNNNNNNNNNNNNNNNNNNNNNNNNNNNNNNNNNNNNNNNNNNNNNNNNNNNNNNNNNNNNNNNNNNNNNNNNNNNNNNNNNNNNNNNNNNNNNNNNNNNNNNNNNNNNNNNNNNNNNNNNNNNNNNNNNNNNNNNNNNNNNNNNNNNNNNNNNNNNNNNNNNNNNNNNNNNNNNNNNNNNNNNNNNNNNNNNNNNNNNNNNNNNNNNNNNNNNNNNNNNNNNNNNNNNNNNNNNNNNNNNNNNNNNNNNNNNNNNNNNNNNNNNNNNNNNNNNNNNNNNNNNNNNNNNNNNNNNNNNNNNNNNNNNNNNNNNNNNNNNNNNNNNNNNNNNNNNNNNNNNNNNNNNNNNNNNNNNNNNNNNNNNNNNNNNNNNNNNNNNNNNNNNNNNNNNNNNNNNNNNNNNNNNNNNNNNNNNNNNNNNNNNNNNNNNNNNNNNNNNNNNNNNNNNNNNAAAUGUCUGAAUGAAUCCUUAUCUUGUUUCAUAAUUGUGUCUGCCAAUGCUGUCUAAGGAGUCUCCUCCGUCAAUACAUCCUUCUGGAUUAUCAUCUUCUUCUGAAUUAUUGUCUUCAAAAUUAUCCAAAUCUUUUUCUUGUUCAAUUUUCUUUUUGCCUUUAUUUUUCUUUUUAAUCUGUAUUUUCUUUUUCUUUGUAGUACUCUGUUUAACUUGUUGCUGUAUUUCUUCAAUUUUUUCAAACAUUUCUUUAAUUCUUCUAAUAUCUGAUUGAGAAAUCUGUUCUGGAUCUUGAGCUGAUUGAAAUGAUUCUGGAAGGUUAAUUGGGCUUUUCUGUUUAAGAUCCAUUGGACUAAUAAGUCUAGUAGCAGAAUUUCCAGUCCUAGUAGCAGAAUUUCCAGUCUGCUGUGUCUGGUCUUCAGAAAUAUUUUUAUUUUCUGUAACAGGAUUUUCAGCCUGUUGAGUCUGAUUAAAUUGAAAAGUAGGAGAAUCAACAGUCCCCUGAGUCUGUUGAGCUUUUGGUAAGCCCAGAACCAUAAACGGAUUUGAUAAGUCUUUACCAGCUUCCGUUUGAACUGGACUAGCUAUAGAAUUCUUGGGCUCUAUAGUACUUGCUUGUGUCUGAACAAUUGGAUUUGAGAUCUUUAAAUUAAUGAUUUCUUGUUCUAAUUCAGAAAUUUUCUUUUGUAAAAUUAAUUUUUCUUGUUGUAAAGACUGAUUGGAUUCAUUUAAAAUUUUAAAAUUUUUAGUCAUACAUUCACAAUGUUCACAAAACUUAGAAACAUAAUCUAAACGCUGAUAUGAAACAUUCUUUAAAGAAGGGGCAACAAAAUAAUUAAUUCCUAAAAAUUUUCUACAUUCUUCUAAUGCUUCUGAAAUUGAAUAAAAUCCUUUAUAAAGAGGAUUUGGAAAAUUUUUUAUGCAAUCUGAGACUUCUAACUAGAUAUGAUAAAUUCCUGGAAGUCUACCUUGUAAAACAACAUAACACUUAAAUUUUUUAUGGUCUUGACUAAAAUGUUCUGAAAGAGCAUUUAAACAUGCUAAAAAGUAUUUUUGGUCUUUAGGAUUCUUAUUAUAAGAAAUCCAUAGAUUAUCUAAAAUACAUUUUUCUGAUUUUGUAACUGAAAUAUGGGAUAAUGUCUUAAAACUAAUAUUACUGUUUAGAAAACAAAGUAAUUCUACAUUACUAAAUCUUAACUUAUCAUGAGUCUGUGCUAAAUUAGUCUGAGAUAAUGAUGAACUUGAACUGCCAAUUGUUGACAAUCCUGGCUUGGGACCUCUUGGUCUUUACAUCUGCAAGAAAUAAUCAAUCAUAUUCUUUAUUUUUAAUUAUUCUACUUAAAAUAUCUGCUAUCUGAUUAUCACUACCUUUAAUAUGUUCAAAAUUAAUUACUAAUUUAGUAUUAGUAAUUCUAUCUAUAAAAUUUAACCAUCUUCUCUAUUACUUCUUUUAUUUUCUAAUUUCAUUUUAUUAACAAAACUUACUAUUACUUCACAAUCUGUUCUUAAAGUAAUUUCUUUUUUAAAAAUAAUGAAUAAUUCAAAAGAAUCUAAUGCAUAAUUAACUGCAAGUAAUUCUAAAUCUAUGCUACUUAUAUUACCUUUUUCUUUAUAAUUUUCACUAUUAUAUCUUACAAUUUUUUCAUUAUCUUUAUCUGCAUAUUUAUUGGGUUUUGCAAUUAAAAUUGCUCCCCAUCCUAUUAUACUUCCAUCUGUUUCUAUAAUUAAAAAAUCUGUUUCUAAUGGCAUAGAUAAUUUAGGUAAAUCUUUUAAUUUCUCUUUUAUUUUUUGAACUAAUUUAAUAUCUUCUAUAUUAAAAUAUCUUCGACCUUUUGGUGAAGUUUUUCCAUAUAAAGGUCCUGCAAUUUUUCCUAAAUCUUUAAUAAAGGGUCUAGCAUAAUUAACUAAUCCUAAAAAUUUUUGUAACUGUUUAAGGUCUUCAAGUUUAUCUGGAAAAUCUAAAGCUUUUUGAGCUAUAUGAGGUUGUAACUCUAUUUUUCCUUUUCCUAUAUUUACUCCUAGAAAUUCUAUAUAUUCUUUAAAUAAAAAUAUUUUCUUUUUAUUUAUAAUUAAACCAUGUCUAAUAAAUUCUGAAAAGAGAAUUUGUAAAUGACCUCUAUGUUCUCCCUUAUUUUUACUAAAUACUAAAAUAUCAUCUAUAUAAACUAUAAUAAAUUUAUUAUGUUUACUGAAAAUACUAUCCAUUUUUCUUUGAAAAAUACUAGGGGCAUUUUUUAAUCCAAAUGGCAUAACUAACCAUUCAAAAUGUCCUUCUGGACUAGUGAAGACUGUCCAUUCUAUUGAAUCUGGGUGCAUUUUUACUUGCCAAAAAUCGAAUUUUAAAUCAAACUUACUAAAAAUAUUACAAUCUUGAAUCUUAUUUAUUAAAACUGUCUUAUCUGGAAUAUUAUAUGCAUCAUCUAUUGUAUUAUCAUUUAAUCUUUUAUAAUUAAUUACCAUUCUACUUUUUCCUCUAAUAAUUUCUGAAUGUUUUCUACUAUAAAAGCUGCUGAUCUGUGUGGACUUUCUGAUUUUUUAAUUACUCCUAAUUUUAAUAAAUCUUUUAUAUGCAUCUUAAAAUCUUCCUGAUCUUGGUUUGUAGCUUCAAUAUUUUUUGUUUUUAUUAUAUAUUCUGGAUUUUUUAUUUUUAUUUCACAAAAAACUUUAUCUUUUUCCCAAUAUUUUAAUAUAUUUUCUCCUAAAAUUUCUAAUUUUUCUAGUUUACUAAUCAUAUUUUCUAUGUCUUGUUCUGUUACUAACAGAUUAUAUAUUUUUUCAAUUUCUACAAAAUCUAAACAUAUUUCUUCUUCUUCCUUAAAACUUUCAUAAUAUUCUUCUAAAAAAUUUAAAUUUUCUAAUUCUUCUUUUUCUAUUAAUUGACAUUCUCUUUCUUUACUGCACUCACAUUCUUUUUCUUUUUCUAUAUAUAUAUAGUGACAUGGAGCAGCCUUUGGAAUUGGAUAUUAAUUGAUUAACUAAACAUUUCAUUUAAAAAGGAUGCAAUAAUAAAAAUGAGAAGAUUGAUGGGAGGCCACGUGACUAGUGGUAGAAAACUAAUUCCCUUUUCUAUGUAAAAAGUGCCACGUGUAUUGUAAUGAAAUGAUUGUUGGGAGGUAUGGUUAGUUGGUAAGAUUUGGGUUAGUAUUUUGUUAGACAUAUGGUUUUUUCAACUUUAUCCCAUUUACCCACUAUCUCCACACAUUUUCCCAUGGGUAUUACUGUAUAUGUAUAUGGAUGCACCACAGAGAAUAUAGACACACAAAUAUAUGUGCAUUGCUCACAGUUAUAGUAGAGGCAGGAAUCGAAAAGAAAAGAAAAGAAAAGAAGGGAACGUGAUUCUUGUUUUAUCUUCCAAAAAUUAAAGCAUUUUAACAAGGUAGGAUAACAAGGAACAGUGUUUUAUGUCAUGUUUAAUUAUUUUAUUUACAUGUUGAUGAAUUUUUUACUCAUGAAAGUUAAAGUUAUGAUAUAAAAUGCUAUGAUAUGAAUGAUAUGGCCAUUUUUGGUACAAUGAUAUGAUAUGAUAUGAGCUUUUACCAAAUUUUAAAGAUAUGAGAUGGUAUGAUAUUCUGACACGUGUUUAAAAUUAUUAUUCGAGAUCGCACCAUUAAUUUUUAUAUCCUACUGAGUAUUCUCAUGUCUCACUCUUUUACACCUCACAGGUUAGAUCGGAUUGUGUCGGAGCAUGGGGGUUUGAUGGUGUGGUUGUGCCUUGUCUUGUUGGACGAAAAUCUAAAGAAUUCAGCAUGUAACUUUAUUUCCUUGCCAUAGACAUUUAUUUAAGACUAAAUUAUCAUUUAUGUUUAUUUGUUCCGUUGAUAUUUUUGUAAUUGCCCGUAAUAAGAUUGAAAACUGCAGUAAUACAUUAGUGCUCUCCAUUAUAUGUGUGGACGUCUAUCCUCAAUUACAGUUGAUAAACAAUCCCUUUUUGUGGUAUGUCUAGUGACUCCAAUUAACUUUACAGAAUUACUCAAUUUGGCGGAAUAUGCUUGUUGACAAGGAAAAACAGUAAAUUAAAUUUGCAUUUUUAAACUUAAUGUUUGAUUUAAAUAUUAUUUCUUCUACCAAAUUCACUGCUUAAAGUAAUUGAACAUAUCUUUACUGUCAAAUUCACUUCAAAGUAAUAGAUGUUGACUGGCAGUCAAAUCCAUGCUAUGUAAUAAAUUUUCCCAUAGCCUUGUGAUGUAGUGUGUGGAUUUCUUUAAUAAAAUAAGGCAACUUUUGGUAGAAUUCUCUCAUUUUAGGGCUAUGUCCCAAGCCUUGAAGAAAGAGAAAAGUACAAUAUGCUUUGAAUUGGAGAUUGUUUUGUCCUAUAUAUAAUAUAUAUGUAUAUAUGGUAUUCAUCAGUGCAUGUGCAUGCAUGUGUAUAUAUAUAUACAAAGUCAAAUGGUUAAUUAUUUCACCCGUGUACAAAAGAAGAAGAGGGUUUUGUCUUGAAUUCUUAAAGUACGAUCAAUUUUAUGUGCUUUUUUUAAAAUGUACACGUUAAAGUUAUGACAUAGAAAAAUAUUCUUUCUUUCCUAUCUAUUAAUUAAUAUAUAUCUCUUUUCCAUGGAUUCAGGUAAAUUACCCUUUCAUAAUUACAUAUUUUGUUGCAUGCCACACUUCCAAAAUUUUCAAGCGAUUCAAACCUUUAAAAAUUUUGGGUCGUUACAUUACAUCCACUAUAGACAAUGGGCCUUACAGUUAGAUGCUGCCUAGCCAAUUUCAUUAGACUUCCUGUAAUCUUCAAGAUAUUGUUGUCUCCUCUAGCUUUCUGAUCUUGUACAAUUUUCUCUUCCAUGUGGAGUUCCAAGAAUCUUCAAUUCUUAUGCUUUUUUUGUGCUUGUAGUCUAAAAUUCUUCAAUAUUCAGUAACCUCUGAAGUUUCGAUUGAGAAUGUACCUCCCUUACAGUGUUAAGGAAGCUAAGUGUUUUGGACUCAAGGAUUUGAUGUUUUCCCAAGUAUGUGGUUGUAGAAUCUCAAGGAUAAAUGUAUUGAAUGAAGGUAGGAACAAGCUCUUGGAUCUUUAAAGAACGAUUUGAAUAUGUUUUGCAAGAGAGGCACAAUGAACAACUACCACGGAAAAUCAUGCAAGACUUACGUAUUUAUAGUUACCGAUGUUUAGGUAUUAUAGGCUGUGUAAAACUUUUCAAAGUCACGAAUCAGGGUUGGCCGAAUAACACCGUUGCUCAAGCGAUCCUCCAACGAGAAGCAGGCAAUGAUGUUUCGCUCGAGCAAAGUCUUGCGACAGGCGAGCGAUGAUCAUUCUGUUUUUGUUGCUCAAGCAAUGUUUUGGCGAGCAAUGUCUUCCGGACUCGAACCCUAACUUACCUAACCCAUCUAUACAAAAUUGCACCAACUUCUUGACUUUUACACAUGUUCAAUUUAGUCCUUUUAGUUCACAGAAUCGCCAAUGAUAAAACCUAACAAAUAUAAUUAUUGAUGACGAAGAAACUAAAACAAAGAAUGCAAAAUGAAUUAAGGUCCCAAUUAUCCAGAAUCAUUUCACGACAGUUCACAAGGAAAAACGAAAAUCACAGCAUACCUUUGAAAAUUGAUUAGGAGAAACUCAGAAGAAACAAGAAUAAAUAUUCGAGUUAUAUUAAUCAUAAUUGAUAUGUUAGGCUGAGAUCAAAAAGUUUACUUGUAAGUAUAUAUUUAUGUUAAAAUUGUUUUCGUUUAAUUUGGUUAUACUUGCAAAUAUGCAAUUUCAAUGUCUUGAUAAUGAAAUAAAUGUUAUUUUCAAGGAGAGCAAUUUUUUGCUUAAAAAUAUGUUGAAAGAAAAGUUUGGAGAUAAAAUUAACUUUAACUUUCCUAAGCGUAUAAUAAAUGAUGAAUAGUUCAAAAUGUGAUUGAAAUUAAUGUUGACCUUUGACUUAUUUUAUAAAUUAUUUAUGAAUUGGUUGUCAAAUGGAGGCUUAAUUACUUCUUAUGUGUUGCAAAUUAUAUAAAGAUAAAAAAGUUUUAUUCUCAGCAAAACAUAGAUAAUAGAAACCGACAAGCUUCAAUGGCUGCAAAUUUUGAGUUUUUUAUAAUUAGAUCAAGUCUUAUCAUCAUUUAUAACCUACCCUAGUAAUUAACGAGAAAUUAACAAUUUCAUGUCGAAAUUCCAAUCCAAUCACACAGACUGUGUAUUUAUUAGGAAGAAAAAGAAGAGAUAAAUAUAAAACAAAAUAAAUACCUAUAUCAAUUAAACAGCUUCUUAAUGAGAAAAUCCAUAACUGAUCCAGUUUCUGGCUUUCUGAGAUAUUGACAUAAAAUAAGCUGUUCUAUUAUUUUACUCCAACAGUUCCUAAUUAUAUAUAAUUUGUAUUGGUAUUAUUCAACUAUUAAAUAUUCAAAUUAGAUUCUGGAAUCCGUACAAAUUGGACUAUGUUGAUAGAAAAAAAGCUUUAGAAAAAAAAGCUAAAGCGCAUCUGUGAGAAAUAAUAAUCUUUUUCUUAUUCAUGGCCUUUGAAUGAAAGGCAAAAGAAUGUAUAGAUUACGCAAAUGGAAUAGAUAGUCAAUAAUGGCCUACUAUGUUAUAGAUAGAGCCAAUUUGCAUUGACCCGGUGAUAGAACUUAAACCACUUGUUAUGAAUGUUAAAGGAAAGAAAUAUGGAUAAAAUGAAAAUAAUGAAUCACACAGAAACACAAUAUUUACGUAGAAAUCCAAAUUCGGAAAUACCACGCACAGAGAGGCGAAAUAUUUACUGUAAUCAAUAGCAAUGAAAUACAAAAGGAGGUCCACAUGACAAAUUAAAAUUUUCCCAAUAAGAAAAAGAAACAUAUUUGUCAUGUGGACCUAUAUAAUAUGGAGAAACCAAUUGAAAUGAAACAGCUUCAUGAUGGGCUCUAAAGAAAUUCUAGACAUGGAUAAAAGUCUCAUGUUCAAAUAUAUUCACACCAAAUAGGCCGGCUGUUGUAUUAUAUUGAAAUCUCAACAAGUAGAUAUACAGCGUAGAAGCUGUACAAAUGUGACGAUUAAAGCUCCAACUAGUCAGCCCAUUAAAAAUAUUUUCUUAUUCAAAGCAGACGUGGGAAAAUAGAAAUGGAAUAAACUGAUUAUAAACCGAAAAUGUAUCGUCAAAUGGCGUGCUAAUAUAUUAAAUUUUAAGGAUCAGUUUGACUAUAAUAUUCAAAUGUUAUCUACUACACCACCGCUAUAUAUACCAUGUUCAGCUGCUGUUUCCUGCACAGCUCUUCACUUCUUCUCUAUUGUAAUUCACUUAACUUUUCAACUAUUCAAGGUAAAUAUGGGUAUCUCCAACUAUUUCCAUGAACUCAAAACUAAUGUUUCUCACAAGAGGCUGUUCAAGGCUUUGAUCACCGAUAACCACGAUGUUUUGCCGAAAGUCUCCCCAUCCAUCAAGAGCAUUGAGACAAUUGAAGGAGAUGGUGGUGCUGGAAGUGUCAAAAAGACAAACUUUUCUGAAUCUGAAGGUUAGUCCAAAUAUUAAAAUCGCGAAAAAAGAAUGAGAACGUAAUAUUUUGUAUAUAUGCAGUACUAUUGUGUCAAAGGUCCUUCUUCUUCUUUUUCUUUUUUUUUUCUCCUUUUUUUAAAAUUUUUUAAAUUUUUAAAUUUUUUAUUAUUUUUACGACACCGGACAAAAUAAAACAUGUCCGAAGUUUUGUUCAUUUUACAUACUCUCAUGAGCAUUUGCGUUAUAUAACAGGGUCUCACUUCAAGCACAUGAAGACCAAGGUCGACUCCUUGGACAAAGAAAACUACGUGGCCAAGUUCACUUUGGUUGAGGGAGAUGCACUUGGUGACGAGCUUGAAAAGGUAUGUUACGAGAUGAAAUUCGAGGACUCAAAGGAUGGAGGAUGUGUCCUCAAGAUCACCAGUGAGUAUCAUUCAAAGGGUGAUGUUGUACCUAAAGAAGAGGAUAUUAAAGCAGCCCAGGAACAUACUAUGGGACUCUACAAGUCUUGUGCAGAUUACCUGAUUGCCAAUCCUCAUGUUUGUGUCUAAAUAGUUUCUAGUUAUAUUUCCGAUUUUAUGUAUUUCCUUAAUAAAGAACUUUGUUCUACUCUUCCAUUGAAGUUUGUUCUUAUCCAACUGUUAUCAAAAUUUACGGUACAACGUUAAGAUGAAAUUUUAGCGAAGUUCAGGUCUUUGCCUUAAUAAAGUGAAUUUGUUUGUUUAUUUCCAUCCACGUCUAUUUAUUCCUAUUUCAUGUCGAAUUUUCAAUGAAUAGUACCAAAUUUCAUCAAAUUACAUGUGAGGUUGCUAUUUAUAUCUGUUUCGUUGCACGUAAAUUUCAAUUGCAAAGAAAUUUUAUCAAGAUAUGGACUACUUAAAACUUCCGUUUGAUUGCAAAGAUGAAAAAGGCAAAUCAAUUCGAUAAAAGUUGGAAAAGAAAAACCACCAAAACCAUACGAAUGCAUUUUCCAUAGAAUUGGCCAAAAACAUGUUUUUAAAUGUUUGUAACCCAGAAUUCGAACUCCAUUUUCACUUUUGUAUCAAACAGCCAAAAUAGGAAAUGAAUUCUUCGGAUAUGACAUUUUCCAUGAAAUUGAAGUCAAUCAAACGGGGCCUAAGAUCCCUUUAAUAAUUACCUGAUCCAAGAAAUGAAUAAGGACAGAAAAAGUUGUGGAAUAGUUACAUCUAACUUUUGUACAUUGGAUUUUUUGCAUAAUUAAUUGAAGUUACUUUUAGAGUCCGUUUGAUUGUAAAAAUAGAAUUUGGAUGGGAAAAAAACGAAUUCUAGGGAGUUGAAUUGUCUAGAAAGUGUUUUACUGGAAAUUGUCAUCUAUUAUGUUUGAUUGGUAUAAUUUUUCAUGUGAAAAAUGUUGAAAUAAAAAUAUUUUUUGGUAUUCGUCUGACUUUGUUUUACAUGAAAAUUGUCAAUUAAAUGGAUAAAAUUUAUUGGUAUUAGGGAUAAAAUUUGUUUCCAUUGCAAACAAAAAAACAAGAAAAUCAUCUAUUUUUUAGUGUUCGUUUGACUUUGUUUUACAAGGAAAUUGUUAAUUAAAGAAUCUCUCUCUUUUUUUUUUUUUAACAAUUAGGGUUAGAAUUUGUUGUCAUUGUUGAAAAAAAAAAAAAAUCCAAUUCCCAGCUACGCAAGAGGGAUACAAAUUCCUCAUUUUUGUGGAAAAUAGGGUCAUGAGUCAGAAAACUAGAAAAUUAAUUGCCAGGAAUAUAUUGCCUAUCAAAAAUGGCAAAAAGUGAAAAAUGGCAUUUUCAAUUCCAACUUUCAUGAAAAAUAUAGCAUAUCAAAUGGAACCUUACCAUUAGCACAUGAUUAUAAUAGAAAUAGUUAAUCAUAUAAUCCUUUUAUUUUUUAUUUUUUAUUUUUAUUUUUAUGAUUAGACUAAUAAGGAUAAUGAUUUUAAGUCCGGCAUAAGUUCAAAAUCAAGAGUGAACCCCGAGCUGUGGAUUCCACAACAGAAAUAUUGCAUACUAUUUGAAAGUGUAACCACGCUAAUUAUUUUUAAUCGAUUUUGACAAAAUUUAAAGCUAAUUGCAUAUAAUUUGAAAGGAUAAUCAUGCUGAUUAUUCUUAAUCGAUUUUGGCAAAAUUUAUAAUCGUUUAUGGUAGUUAUGAAACAUAUGUUCAAGUUAUCUUUAGAGAAUGUAUGAUUAUAUGCUAACAUUUGACCCAAACUUUGCCAAUUUUUCAUUUUAGUCCCUAGCUUUCUUCAAAUGUACAAUUUGAUCCUUUUUUAUUUCUUUUCAGUCUUUAGCCUUUCUUAUUUACCCAAUUGAUCCGUAGCACUCUCCAAUCGUCGAUAUAAUGUCUGAAUCAUCUUUUGAGAGUUUGCAAUUUGGACCUCAGACUUUUAAUGUCUUUCAUUUUUGUCCAUUUUUCGCUAAUUUCCUCCAAUCAUUUUUGCAUCGAAUUUCUCCUAACAAAUGAAAUAUAUUCAAAAUUAAGCCAUUAUAGCAAUCAAUCUAAUUCAAUGGGUCAAAUAAAUAUUAAAAAAAAUACACUUAUCAAUGAGGCAAGACCGUUCAAAAAAAUAAGUGAAGACACGUGACAAAAAGAGAGAAGAGACGGAGUUUGCUAGGAGACUUGUGGAGUACAUUCGAAUCAAAGUGAUAACAUUUAAUUUAGUAAAUAAAAAAAAUACUGAAUAUGUCUGCAAAGAAAACACAACUAUGGGUAUAACAAAAGAUUUGCGUGGUGACAAUAUAGUCAUCCAUUGUUAAAACAAUCAAGGAAGAGUUUCGAAUAGGUUUUCAUCAAUUUCAAAUUUUUAUGCCGAAGGUUAUUCAUUUCAAACCAGAAGUAUUGCAUAGAACAUGACUGAUAAGUAUGCUGAUUGUUCUUAAUUGAUUUUAUGAGAAUUCUAAAUAGUUAAUGUUAUUUGAUCAGUUGCCGAAUAAAAAACUAAUUAAGAUUAGAAACAACUAAUUUAACAUGGUAAACUCAGUCUUACAGACUAAAAUUAAAUUCCACUUCAAAAAAGGAUACUUUCAUUUCAAACUUUUGAAACUAAUGUUGAUUGUUCAUUUACUAUCCGAUUUAGGUUGGCCUUACGUGCAGAAUUAUUCUAUUAAAAGCAACAAGUCACUUUUUAAUAGUUUCUAGAUGGUUAUUCAAACAGUCCAAUUAUCCUAAGCUAAAUUACCGUAUUUUCUACUUUGAAAACAAUAAAUAACACCAAUAUUGUUGACGGAGAAAUCUCAACUAAGUAAAAACUCCGGAACCAAACCAACUAUAGAUAAUGAGCUUUACAGUUAGAUGCUAUCUAGCCAACUCUACAAGACUUUUCGAUCUACGUCCUAUAAUCUCCAAGAUACCACUGUCUCCUCCAACUCCCCGAUCUUUUACAAUUGUCUUUUUCAAGUGGAAUUCCAAGAAUCUUCAAUUCUUGUGCUUUUUCUGCGCUUUUAGUCUAACCUUUCUCAAUCUUUUAAAUAAAGCUCAUUUUGUAUGUAUAUUUUGAUCUUUUAUUUUUUCUUCCCUAACUUUGAGUAUACAUCUUUCACAUUUAUCAAUGUUUUUAAAACUCGUCAAUUUUUACAUUUUAAGUGCGACUAAGAUGAUCCCUGUAGCGAGCUUUAGGCCAGUUAACUCAAGUCAACUGACCAUAGGCACAAGGUUUUGAGGCACCCCGCAUGCUUAAUUGCUCAAGUCAAAUAGGCUCUGAAGAAGAACAUAAGAUAUUGAACUUUGUAUUAUAAGGGGAUACACUUGAGCAAAUGUGCAUGUACCAGUGCAAACAUAAUGAAAAUGCACAUACAUGAAACUACCUAGAAAAGCAAAUGAACAAAUAUGAUGCAUGCAUAAAUCAAUGAGACAUAAUGAUAAACACAAGCAUGCACCAAAAUUACCUGGUCAGUUAGGUAAAGAGAAAUUUUACCUUUAAGAGCGCCGUGAUCUAUUUUAGAAUUUUCUAGGUCACUCUUUUUCACCCAAAUUUGCCUAGUGGGAGAACAAUUCCAAAACAAUUGUGUCACCAACUUGGUAAAUCGACUCACUCGAUCAGUGGAAUCAAAUCUAACCAACAAACUCCUGAUCUUUACUCCUAUUUAAGCUGUUGUUUCUAUGUCUGUUCAACAAUUGAUGACACCUAAGGCGUAUGUGUCCUAUCUAACUAUAGUGAAAGUAUGUAGGGAUAAACUAGGACUAAAGUUAUGUGGUCGUUGAUGUCUAUUCCUAGGUUGAUGGGUCCUACGCUGUCUAGUAGGCCUCUGUCCUACAAAUCCUUUAUUCUUUAGUUCAGGGUUAGGCGCAUGUUUAGACUGGUCAGUGCCAGGAAUAAAAGUGAUCUUUGAAAUACACACAGUAUUGUAAUAUUCUCUUUAAAACCUAGACUUCCCUAUUACCAGUCGAUUUUCUCAUGAGGAUGUUAUCUAGUUUCAACGAACCUCUAGAAAAGGCAAGAAACUUUGAAUACUCAAUGUUGCUCAGAAGGUUCUUAACCUGGAUUUUUAACUUCUCAUUCUCAAUAGUUGGCAUACUAGCUUUCUUAGAGGACUUCUCAAGCUUGCUAGUAAGAUUCAUAACCUGAGUGUCCAAGGAUUUAGUUACAGACUUUAACUUACUCUGGGAUAAGGUAGAUUCCUGAAGGUCAGUUAAAUGUUUCUCUCUCUCAGACUCAAGUUCAUUGACCUUAGCACACAAGGCUUUAUUCUUAGUCAUAAUCUUAAUAUACUCUUCAUACAUUUUAUCAUACACCUCAUGUAUAUCUUUCUCACUUUCAGAAUCUGAUUUCUCAUCACCAUCUACAUCCUUAACCUUUUCACUCUCCUGAUCAGAUCUACUCCUAAUCGUAGCAGUGAAGUUAAUGUAUUUCUUAUUCUCCUCAGGAAUGAUUUCUAAGAUAUCACAAACAUCUUUAGCAACCUCAUACAUUGACACUCGCCUAAACACUUUAGGUAAUAUUGCCAUAAAUAGAGCAUGUAAAGCUUAAUUAUUCCAAUUACACUUAUCUAAGUUUAUUUUAGUCCAAUUAGCAAUAGAAAUGGGAGUUAUUACAUUAUCAACUGUAGUACUAGCGGCAAUCCAACCAUUAACUACACUCAACCAAAUCCGUUCAUCCAUAGAUUUAAGGAAAGCUUUCAUCCUAACUUUCCAAUAUACAUAAUUACUGCCAUCAAAAUAUGGCCGGAUGGAUAGUGAACUACUCAUCUAAAUAAAUUAAGGCAAGGAAGGCUCUGAUACCACUUGAAAGUUCGUUUACUAUCCGAUUUAGUUUGACCUUACAUGUGGAAUUAUUCUAUUAAAAGCAACAAGUCACUUUUUAAUAGGUUCUAGAUGGUUAUUCAGAUAGUCAAAUUAUCCUAAAUUGAAUUACCACAGUUUGUACUAUGAAAGCAAUAAAUAACACUAAUAUUGUUGACGGAGAAACCUCAACUGGGUAAAAACUUCGAGACCAAGCCAGUUUUCUGUAAUAUCCCGAAAUUUCAUAGAAUAGAAUUUAAUUAUUGUGUGCUAUAUUUUAAUGUAAUGAAAGUUUAGGGACCAAAGUACAUAUAAAGUAAAUUUCAAUUUUUUUUGGGUUAAAAUGUAGAUGUUGACGGAGGGACAAUAAGUAUAUGAAUAUUAAGCUCGUUGGAUAGAUCGUAAUUAAUCAUGCAUAUUAGGCUCGAAAAAAAAGUUAAUUUGGAUUAGCGGAGCCCAAGUUAUCGAGAUCGAAAGGUAUAUGUUUAAAUUAUAUUUUAGUUUAGUGUUUAAUGAAUAUAUAUAUAUAUAUAUAUAUAGGGUGACAUGUAGCAGCCUUUGGAAUUGGAUAUUAAUUGAUUAACUAAACAUUUCAUUUAAAAAGAAUGCAAUAAUAAAAAUGAUAAGAUUGAUGGGAGGCCACGUGACUAGUGGUAAAAAACUAAUUCCCUUUUCUAUGUAAAAAGUGCCACGUGUAUGGUAAUGAAAUGAUUGUUGGUAGGUAUGGGUAGUUGGUACGAUUUGGGUUAGUAUUUUGUUACACAUACGGUUUCCUCAACUUUAUCCCAUUUACCCACUAUCUCCACACAUUUUCCCAUGGGUAUUACUGUAUAUGUAUAUGGAUGCACCACAGAGAAUAGAGACACACACAUAUAUGUGCAUUGCUCACAGUGAUAGUAGAGGUAGGAACCAAAAAGAAAAGAAAAGAAGGGAACGUGAUUUUUGUUUUAUCUUCCAAAAAUUAAAGCAUUUUAACAAGGUAUGAUAUCAAGGUGCAGUGUUUUAUGUCUUGUUUAAUUAUUUUAUUUACAUGUUGAUGAAUUUUUUACUCAUGAAAGUUAAAGUUAUGAUAUAAAAUGCUAUGAUAUGAAUGAUAUGGCCAUUUUCGGUACAAUGAUAUGAGUUUUUACAGGAUUUUAAAGAUAUGAGACGGUAUGAUAUUCUGAUACGUGUUUAAAAUUAUUAUUCAAGAUCGUACCAUUAAUUUUUAUAUCCUACUGAGUACUCUCAUGUACUCACUCUUUUCUCUACACCUCACAGGUUAGGUCGGGUUGUGUCGGAGCGUGGCGGUUCGAUGGUGUAGUUGUGCCUUGUCUUGUUGGACGAAAAUCUCAAGAAUUCAGCACGUAACUUUAUUUCCUUGCCAUAGACAUUUAUUUAAGACUAAAUUAUCAUUUAUGUUUAUUUGUUCCGUUGAUAUUUUUGUAAUUGCCUGUAAUAAGAUUGAAAACUGCAGUAAUCUAUUAGUGUUCUCCAUGAUAUGUGUGGACGUCUGUCCUCAAUUACAGUUGAUAAACAAUCCCUUUUUGUGGUAUGUCUAGUGACUCCAAUUAACUUUACAGAAUUACUUAAUUUGGCGAAAUAUGCUUGUUGACAAGGAAAAAGAGUAAAUUAAAUUUGCAUUUUUAAACUUAAUGUUUUGAUUUAAAUAUUAUUUCUUCCACCAAAUUCACUGCUUAAAGUAAUGGAACACGUCUUUACUGUCAAAUUCACUUCAAAGUAAUAGAUGUUGACUGGCAGUCAAAUCCAUGCUAUGUAAUAAAUUUUCCCAUAGCCUUGUGAUGUAGUGUGUGGAUUUCUUUAAUAAAAUAAGGCUACUUUUGGUAGAAUUCUCUCAUUUUGGGGCUGUGUCCCACGCCUUGAAGAAAGAGAAAAGUACAGUAUGCUUUAAAUUGGAGAUUGUUUUGUCCUGUAUAUAAUACAUAUGUAUAUAUGGUAUUCAUCAGUGCAUGUGCAUGCAUGUGUAUAUAUAUACACAUACAAAGUCAAAUGGUAAAUUAUUUCACACGUGUACAAAAGAAGAAGAAGAGGGUUUUGUCUCGAAUUCUUAAAGUACGAUCAAUUUUAUGUGCUUUUUUAAAAAUGUACAUGUUAAAGUUAUGGCAUAGAAAAAUAUUCUUUCUUUCCUAUCUAUUAAUUAAUAUAUAUCUCUUUUCCACGGAUUCAAGUAAAUUACCCUUUCAUAAUUACAUAUUUUGUUGCAUGCCACGCUUCCAAAAUUUGAAUGAAAAUUUUGGUAGCGAUUCAAACCUUUAAAAAUUUUGGAUCGUUACAUUACAUCCACUAUAGACAAUGGGCCUUACAGUUAGAUGCUGCCUAGCCAAUUCCAUUAGACUUCCUGUAAUCUUCAAGAUACUGUUGUCUCCUCUAGCUUUCUGAUCUUGUACAAUUUUCUCUUCCAUGUGGAGUUCCAAGAAUCUUCAAUUCUUAUGCUUUUUUUGUGCUUGUAGUCUAACAUUCUUCAAUAUUCAGUAGCCUCUGAAUUUUCGAUUGAGAAUGUACCUCCCUUACAGUGUUAAGGAAGCUAAGUAUUUUGGACUAAAGGAUUUGAUGUUUUCCCAAGUAUGUGGUUGUAGAAUCUCAAGGAUAAAUGUAUUGAAUGAAGGUAGGAACAGGCUCUUGGAUCUUUAAAGAACGAUUUGAAUAUGUUUUGCAAGAGAGGCACAAUGAACAACUACCACAGAAGAUCAUGCAAGACUUGGGUAUUUAUAGUUAGCGAUGUUUAGGUAUUAUAGGCUAUGUAAAACUUUUCAAAGUCACGAAUUAGGGUUGGCCGAAUAACACCGUUGCUCAAGCGAUCCUCCAACGAGAAGCAGGCAAUGAUGUUUCGCUCGAGCAAAGUCCUGCGACAGGCGAGCGAUGAUCAUUCUGUUUUUGUUGCUCAAGCAAUGUUUUGGCGAGCAAUGUCUUCCGGACUCGAACCCUAACUUACCUAACCCAUCUAUACAAAAUUGCACCAACUUCUUGACUUUUACACAUAUUCAAUUUAGUCCUUUUAGUUCACAGAAUCGCCAAUGAUAAAACCUAACAAAUAUAAUUAUUGAUGACGAAGAAACUAAAACAAAGAAUACAAAAUGAAUUAAGGUCCCAAUUAUCCAGAAUCAUUUCAUGACAGUUCACAAGGAAAAACGAAAAUCACAUCAUACCUUUGAAAAUUGAUUAGGAGAAACUCAGAAGAAACAAGAAUAAAUAUUCGAGUUAUAUUAAUCAUAAUUGAUAUAUUAGGCUGAGAUCAAAAAGUUUACUUGUAAGUAUAUAUUUAUGUUAAAAUUGUUUUCGUUUAAUUUGGUUAUACUUGCAAAUAUGUAAUUUCAAUGUCUUGAUAAUGAAAUAAAUGUUAUUUUCAAGUAGAGCAAUUUUUUGCUUAAAAAUAUGUUGAAAGAAAAGUUUGGAGAUAAAAUUAACUUUAACUUUCCUAAGCGUAUAAUAAAUGAUGAAUAGUUAAAAAUGUGAUUGAAAUUAAUGUUGACCUUUGACUUAUUUUAUAAAUUAUUUAUAAAUUGGUUGUCUAAUGGAGGCUUAAUUACUUCUUAUGUGUUGCAAAUUAUAUAAAGAUAAAAAAGUUUUAUUCUCAGCAAAACAUAGAUAAUAGAAACCGACGAGCUUCAAUGGCUGCAAAUUUUGAGUUGUCUAUAAUUAGAUCAAGUCUUAUCAUCAUUUAUCACCUACCCUAGGAAAAGAGAAAUAAGUAAUUAACGAGAAAUUAACAAUUUCAUGUCGAAAUUCCAAUCCAAUCACACAUACUGUGUAUUUAUUAGGAAGAAAAAGAAGAGAUAAAUAUAAAACUGUUUCGCGCGGGUAGUCGCUAACAAUUAAAAGGGGAUCAGACGAUUGUGUAAGGAACAAACCUCUUGAGACAAAGUCCCAAAAAGGGGUGUUUUAUUGGCGAUGAUUUACAAUUGGAACAAAACAGAAUGCCUACAAGGAGCGCAAGCACACGAGUAUUGAAAGAAAUGUUUAAGUUUAAACUAAGAAAUUGAAAUUACAUAUUCUUUGUUUGAGAGUGUUUGAUUCGGGGUCCUUCUCUUUAUGUCUUCUCUUCUUUUUAUAUUCCCUUGAUGAUUUCUUCAUGACAAACCACUUGGAAACUGCUUGAUUGCUUUAUAACUACCCACUUUCUUUAUGGUGGUUAACUUGUCGUGGAAAUUCCAUCUCUAACUACUGCCAUUACUCUUUUCGUUCAACCACCUUCAAUUGGGUUCCUUGAAUCGUGGAAUGUGAUAAGGUUACUCAAUAACUGUUUCAGUAACUGCAUUUCUAGAUAACCAUAACAUUUUAUGUUUGCUAAGAUCAUGAGCGAUUCGAAGGUAUGGGCGAGAACAUGGUUAUUGCUUUGGGCAACUGUAAGGCACUCCAUUCGCUCAGAUCUUGGGCGUCUUGCAAGUUUGAGCGAUGAUGUUACUGUGUUCGUGGGCUCCCACUGCAUUCAAUAAUAAUCCUGUCUAGGCCUUUAUUAUGAAUUUCCCAAUUGAACUUCAUUCUUUGGGCUAUUUGAUUUGAGAAUUCCUCAAUUGGGCUUCAUUCGUUGGGCUAUUCGAUUUGGGCUGCACUUUAAAUGUGUCAACAAUUACCCCCAAUAUGGCAGAAUUAAUACUAAUUAUUAAUCUUUGCCAUAUUUAUUUUGUGUUUUCCAGUAACAUUUGAAAUUCCCAAGAAUUUCAAUCAUUAUUUCCUUCCAUAGCUUGAAAAGGUGCGACGUUACAAACCCUUAUAAACCCUAAAGACACGUCAUUUCCUCACAUCACUAAAUCACGCCUAAUUAUUUCGCGCUUCUUUCUCACAAUAUUACUAUUCAUUUUCUUGCUUCUCUGCUUCGUUUCUCAAGCAAACUUUAACAAAACUGUAUUUCGUUCCCAAUGGCGGCUCCACAUACCCAAUUUGAUGACUCUUUUAGCUUCGAAGAUUUCCAAAAAAUCUUUACUCGGCCAUAUGUAAAUCCGAACUUCCUUGCACUAGCCAAUGUGGAACUCAAUGAGUUCUAUCUGAGUCUAUCAUUCAAUAACGUCGAAGCCGUCGAACAAGUGGCGGUGGGCCAACUGUUCCCUUGCGCUCAAGGCCCUCCGUUCCUGAACUCUUUGCCGCUGAGGCCGAUUCGCGAAAAAGGUAUUCACACUUGGCCUAAAUCUGAUGUUAUUUUCCAUAGAUGACAUGCUCACCUUGUGGGCCAUGGUCAUACCAAGGCAAUUUUUUAUCGUACUAAGAUUUCUGAUUUAUUAGAAAUUGCUCUUUAACCCCCAAUUUUUGACCCAGUGUUUUUUUCUAUUGCUUUAAGUUUUGGUCUUCUGAAUAUAAUACUUUGUUUUCCCUCUUGGUCCCAUGUCUAUUACUUUAAGGGAUGUUGGUGCCCUAGUAAAUCUUUCACCUUUGGGCGAUACCAUUUUCCCUGGUAUUUUGAUUUUCGGUGUCGCCCCAAAAUUUGACAAGAAACUCACUGAGUCCUACUCAAGCCUGCAAGGCUUUUAUAAUCACUCAAACGCUGAACGUCCCAUGCUGAGCGUGUGGCCUUUCUUCAGAUUUGGCUAUGUAAAUAUAUUCUCUGCGUGCCAAGUAUGAAGCCUUCCAUGAGUUACUUACCCAUAGCGCAUGAAUUAACACGUGGUAGGCCUUUGAAUUUGUGUUCCUUCUUUUUGGCUGCCCCUUUAUAGAGGCAUGGCUUCUUUUCAAUUUCAAUUGAAGAAUGGUGCAUCUCCCACUGACAGUGGGCUUCUUUGGUUCACUCAACUGUGGUUGAGAGCAUAUUUCCCAUCACUUAGUGCUCCGUCCAUUUUUCUUCAUUCUGCUAGCUGCUAUGGACUAGCCAUUGACCCAUUGAGCCCUGUAAAUAUGUCCAGUAGGGACAUUUUUUCAUUCUUUUAUACCUUAAAUUCAGUUCCUUCCUUCUUUCCUUUUCCUACUCAUUUGACUCCAGAUUAUGUGCAACCUCCAUCCACCCUAGACAGUACGAGCGCCUCUCUACUAAUUUGGAUUCAGUUUUUGACUGUGAGGGAGUUGUUCCGUGAUAUUUUAACUGGAACCAAUGCCAAAGCUGGGGUUGAAAUAUAUGUUCCCCAAAUUUUUGCUCGCCAACUUGAUUUUGGCCAAACUUGGCCUGUUCCUCCUUACUAUUCAAAAAAUUUGACAGACCGCUUUCACAUCAUUAAUAAGGCAGAGGCACAACAAGCAAUAGAUGCUCGCAACAUUCUUUUGACGAGUAAAUUUUCAUUAGCCCCCUUCAAUUCUAGUCGUGCCAUCUAUCUCCUUUUUGAACAACUCUGACCAUCAGUGAAGCGCAGAUUGUUUGCAACUAAUGCCAAUUGUGCUUUCCAUUAACUGGAUCAGCCAAACACUUCUUCCACUUCUCCUAUUUUGGUCACCCCUAUGUCCAUUAGGAAUCCUUCCUCCCCUGCUCAUGCUGAACAAUCUAUUCAUCUAUCUACUUCUCUAUCUGCCAAGGCUACUGCAGCUAAGAGUGCCUUAACCCGCAAACGGCUAGCUUCAACAUCUCCCAUUUUGAAGGAUGACGAUGAUGAUGCUCCUCUCAUCGUUAGGAGAAAGGUAAUUGAAUUCUGUUUAUUCACAAACAUACAUUUCUAUGUGCUAAUGGUUUACCUGAAACCUUUCUAUGUGCUAAUGAUUUACUUGAAUUUCUCAAAAACGUUCAGCCUCUCCUUUGAAGGCUUUGGUGUUGGUAGCUCCUGCUCCAUCACUCUCUGCUGCUGAUACUACUUCGUCCAAAUCAGCUGAUGAAGGGACUAUGCUUAAAGAGAAAUUUUCAGUCCCGAAACCUUUAUCACAACCAAUGGAAGACCCACCUUCUUCCCAGGGCACCGACCCCUCAAACAUCAAACUAGAAGGUAAUACAUUUUUUGAUGUUUUACCUUUGCUUGUGCUAUUGGUUUCUGAUUUGUUGCUUCUUGAAUUCUGCAGAGGCUCCCAUGGGUCUGCCCGUUGUGGCAGAGUCUUCUCGCCCACAUAAUGGGAAGUCUCCAUAGGUGGUGGAGCCAACUGGUAAUAUGCCACUUCCCAAGAUUGCUGAUGAGGUAAUCUUUCGCUUCACUUUUAUUUUCGCUUCGUUUAUUGUAGUGAAAGCCCUCAAUGUUGGCAUUUUUCUUUGCAGGGUAUUGAUGACAUUGUACAUUCCAUUCAGGACUUGUUCACUUCCUGAGGACAAGUCAAGACGUCUCGUCCUACUUCAACCGGUCAUCCUUCUGCUUCUUCAGAGGAAGAUAUCAAGUUCCUUAAGCAGUCGAUAUUUGAGUAUGUGUCUUUUAUGGACAUGGACAUCGGUCAGGCUAGUGCUGAAAAACAUAAGGAUAAGCUUGAGCUAUUGAGUGCGAAGUUGGCGCAAGCACUGACACUUUCGUCGCUCAAUAUUUCUGCUGAUUUUAAAGCGACGUUGAAGGUUUUUCACUCUGACAUCCUCUCCUUGCUGGCCAAAAAUGUUGAACUGAAGGCCGGGAGUACUCAAUAUCUUAGCGCUGCAUCUGAAAGAGAGUCUUUGCUUCUAGAGAUUAACAAAGUCGAGGACGAAUUGAAAGAAAUCUCUUCCGAAGUUAUGAUUGAAGACUCCUUGAUGACCAGUUUGGCUGCAGAUAUGAAGGAGCUUCAAGUAAGGAUGGACGACUAUAAGGCGAGAAUGGCUGCUAAAAAGUAUAAUGCUUCCCAAGGAAUUGAGCAAACCAAGUCUUUGGUCGAGCAGUACAAAAAGCUGGAGGUUGAUGACGAUUUUAUAGCUGAAUUAAAUAUCCCUUCUUCUCAGCAGAGCGAGGAUUGGGAGAGACUUAGGGAAAGAAUUCGAUCGGCCUGGGGUGAAUUGUAAUUAAGACAUCUAAUGCCUUAAAUUUUCCUUUUGUAACUUCGUACUAACUGUCAUUGCUAAAUUUGAAUGUAACAGCAGCCAUUGUCAUUAAUGAACGACUAUUUUGACUACUUGUGUGCUAAUUGACGUUGUCCGUAAUUUUCAAUCCCCCAAGCAUUUAAAUGCUUUAUGCUAAAAUUCUUGUACAUUCUCUCUUGGUAUUUUUGUCUCUUUUCUGAAGACUUUGGGCAACUUGACUCCAAUUACUAGGCACGAAUGUGGCUGUUCAUAUUCUGUCUCUUUACCUUCAUGCCCCUAUAAAUGCACGUAUAUUUCGCACUUUUCAUUUUCAUUUCCAUUCUUUUCUUCAAAAACUAAUUUGCUGUCAUCGUUUGGCAUUUCAACAAUCGAUCCAAAAUUUUCGUCUUCCAUAGAAAUGAAUCAUUUGAUCCGCCCAUUUUGCUAUCUGUUUUGAUGUUACCUUUAGUAUAGGAGAUAUAGGAAAUAUUCUUUGACCAGCAAAGUUCUUCCCAUCGUCUUCAUGUUCUUUACAAGGAGUUCAAUGAUGGAAGGUAAUUUUUGAGGAUGCCUGUCAAGCCACCUUGCUUGCUGAGAGUGCUUCUCAGUCUCCUUGCCCGUUAUUGCAGCAAUGCGAUUAGGCAAGCGAUGUGAUGGUGCUUUUCUUCCCUUUUGCUUGCUGAGAAUGCUUCUUGGCCUCUCUGCCUGCCUUUGCAGCAGUGCGAUCAGGAUAGCAAUCAAGGCCAGUUCACCCUCUUACUUGGCGAUCGACCGAGAGAUUAGUUUGCUCUCAAUUGUAGCUUAUAGAGCAUUUAGUAUUUUGUAUCUCGCAAUUUGUAAUAAAUAUUUGAUAAUAAAGGAAUUUAUUUGAACGUAUUUCGUUCUGGCCCUUUUUAUAUAUGAUCGUUCAACGUGAUUUGAUUACGCUUUUAUUUGUUCACUUUCCCAAAUCUAUAAAUAAUAUGAUCACGGAUAAAUUCUACGACACUCUUUUGGGUGAUUUCUUUUAAAGGUAUCGCUUCUACCCACUUAGUGAAAAAAUCAGUUGCAACUAUAACAAAGGUAUGUUGCUUGGACGACGGGGAAUAAAUCUUCCCUAUUAGGUCUACCGUCCAACCCUUGAACGGCCAAGGUUUGAUAAUAGGUGUCAUCUCUAUUGCUGGCGCCCUUUGUAUUGGACCAUGCUUUUGGCAUGCUAGACAACUCUUUGCAUAUUGAACACAUGAUUCUCCCAUCUUUGACCAAAAAUAUCCAUUCCUAAUAAUUAACCAUCUCAUCCUUUGACCAGCUUGAUGAGCUUUACAUAUCCCUUCGUGCACCUCAACCAUGAUUGUCUUGGCUUUUUGCAAAUUUACACAUUUUAGCAAUAUACCAUCAGAGCGUUUCUUAAAUAACUCUUCAUCUAUCAGUGUAUAGUUUAGCAAACGCAACUUCAUUUUUCUGCUAUCUCCUUUAUUAGGUUCUUUAAGGGAUCUUUUAAUCUCUGUCCUCCAAUCUAUUGUAUCUCCAUCUUGUAUGCAAUGAAUUUCAAUCUUUCUCGCCCUUCUUUGAACUACGGGUAAUAUUACUCCAUAUUCAUAAGUAGAUUUCCAAUUUAAAACCUUUGAAUACCCUGAGGCCAUCUGGGCCAACUCAUUUGCUACGUCAUUAUAUAUCCUAUUAACACAUUGAAGCUCUACUUGGUCGAAUUCUUCCAAAAAAUCUUGGGCGAUUUCAUAUUGACUUAUAAUGGAAUCACUUUGGCACUUAAAAUCACUAAUCAAUUGGUGAAUCACCAAUUGAGAAUCGUCUCUAAUGAUCACAUUCUUUACUUCCAUAUCUAUCAUUAAUUCUAGGCCCACGAUUAAGGCUUCAUAUUCGACUUGAUUGUUGGUGCACAUCCUAUCCAAAGUGAAUGCGAACUUGUAACAAAUCCCUAAAGGAUUUAUCAAUGCUACUCCUACUCCUGCACCUUUAGAGGUUUUUGACCUAUCGAAAUACAAAACCUAAGGUUUUAAUUCGAAUGAAUUGGCUUCUAAUUCAAUUUCUUCAGGCAUGUCAAGGUAUGGAUGAUCGGCCAGAAAGUUAGCCAAAGCCUGAUUUUUGAUUGCCUUUUGGGGUAUGUAUUGUAUUUCGAAUUCUAAUAAUGCUAACGUCCAAAGGCCUACCCUUUAGUGUAAAAUAGGGCGAGAGAACAUAUACUUAACCAAAUUUAUUCUAAAAAUCAAAUAAAUGGUUACGAGUCGUAAAUAAGCCCUUAAUUUCGUACACGUGAAAUACAAUGCAAGACAUAAUUUUUCAAUGGCAGAGUAAUUACAUUCACAUUUUGUUAACCGUCUACUCAAGUAGUAAAUCGCCCUUUCUUCACCAAAUUGGUCUUCUUGCGCGACCAUUCCAACUAUUGAUUCUUGUUCAGCCGAUACAUACACUUUCAUUGGCCGUUCUUGGAUUGGUGACAUCAACACUGUUGGACUUGAUAAAUAUGUCUUUAGACUUUCAAAAACCUUUUGAUACUCUUCUUUUCAGAAGAAUUCGUCCUGAUUCUUCAACUUUAAAAGCGGCGAAAAGCUUUAGUUCACCCUACACAGUUAGAAAUAAAGCGUUUUAAAAAAUUUACUUGGCCUAGAAACCUUUGCAAUUAUUUUUUAUUGUUAGGUGAUUUGGCCUCUAAAAUGACCUUCGCUUUAUUUUUAUCAAGUUCAAUCCCCCUUUUGUGUACUAAGAAACCAAGGAAGUUUCUUGCAUUAACACCAAAUGCACAUUUCAAGGGUUUCAAUUUUAGUUUAUAUUGCUUCAUUCGCUCAAAUGAAUAUCUCAAUUGUUCAAAAUGGUCCUCUUCUUUAAUGGAUUUGACCACUAUAUCAUCUACAUACACUUCAACAAACUUGCCUAUCAUAUCAUGAAAAAUCAAGUUCAUCGCCCUUUGAUAAGUUGCUCCUGCAUUUUUCAGACCGAAAGACAUAACUACCCAUUCAAAACAUCCUAGAGACCCACGACAUUUAAAGGCAGUUUUGUGUAUAUCUUCCUCAACUAUAUAAAUAUGAUUGUAUCUUGAAUACCCAUCCAUGAAAGAAUACAUUACGUGUCCGGCAAUCGAGUCUACUAAAGAAUCUACCGUGGGCAUUGGAUAUUCAUCUUUGGGUGUGGCUAUAUUUAAAUUUCUAAAGUCUAUGCACACCCUUAAUUUACCAUUCUUUUUUAGUACUGGCACGAUAUUGGACAACCAUUCGACAUAUCUGGCUGUUAUAAUAAAGCGUGCUUUUAAUAAUCGCUCUAUUUCUUUCUUAAUCUCAGGGAGUACAUUAGGAGCAAAACGUCUAGGAGGUUGUUAAUGAGGUUUAAAAUUUGGCUUGGUUGGUAAUCUAUGUUCCACCAAACCUCUAUCUAAACCAGGCAUGUGUUCAUAUUCCCAAGCAAAACAAUCCUUAUAUUUCUUUAAUAAAGUGAUUAAUUUAUCACUAACCUCUUGAUCGAGCAUCUGGCUGACGAAUAUUAGGCGAUCUUCUCCUUCAUUGCCAAUAUUCACUUUAAUCAGAGGGUCCUGUGCUUGAGCGUAUCCAGGCUUGGUGAUCCUCACUACUUCAUCGUCCAAUUCGCUUAUAGGCAUUUCUUCUUCUAAACAAUCCACCUUGUUGACUUUUCGGCCAAUAUUUUGUUCCAACUCAAACACUGCCAAUUUGUCUCUCAAUACUUCCAAGGCUGCUUCUUCUUUUGUCUUGUCCUUACAUUCUUUAUUGAAAGCCAUUAAUUUGACUUUUAAGGCCUGAACAUCGGUCAUUUGCCUUUGUUGCUUACAACUCAUUUAAAACUCCUUGAUUACUCUUUUGCCAAUUACUGGCUCUUCUAGGGCCACUAUAUUUGGCCUCAUUUGACUAAACAUUUAAGUGAGUGCAUCUACCGAAAACGGCUCUUCACUCUAUGCAACAAUUUGAGUUUCUUCUCCAUCUUGGACUACUCUGACAGGUCCAUAAUUUCCUUCGUACAUGAACCUUUCCACUGAGUUUGCUUCUGCGACAAAAGGCCUAUGAUCGGCUUGCACAACUUCUGCUUCACCCUUAUCAUUCCAAAAAAUCAGGCAUUGAUGGAGCGAUGAGGGUAUACAACGACUUCCGUAUAUCCAAUCUCUUCCUAAUAACACAUUGUAACUAGUAGGACCAUCUAUUACAAAGAAGACUGUGGUCCUAGUAGUUGUCCCUAUAGUUAUAUCUAAUGAGAUAACCCUUUUAGCUAAAGUUGCUCCUCCAUUGAAACUUGUAAGGAUGACUUCCGUUGGAAUCAUAUCACUUUCUGUCUUUGCAAAUUUCCUCAUCAUCUUAGAUGAAAUAGUAUUUAUAGCUGCUCUAUUAUCAACAAGUACUUUUGCCAUAGGUAUGCCGUUAACUAAAGCUUUAACGUACAAUGGCCUCAAGUGUUUAGUUAACUUCAUGGCUGGUCUCUUAAAAAUAACUUUCAGCAGCAUCUAUUUCCACUUCCUGUUUGUCCUCUGUCAAGUUAUCAUUUUGUGAUAAGUCAACGUGUAGUAUGUCACACUGAGUUUCUGUUUCCUGAAUUUUCUUUUUACUAUUUUCUAAUGCUUCUUCUUCGGUUGCCCAACCUGUGGGAGGAGGCAUUAUCCUUGGAGGUGAUCCAUAUUUUUCAGAGUAAGGAACUUUCUUUUUCAUUUUGGGCGUCCCGUACAGUACGUAAUAAUCGAAAGAACGCCUAGACGGUUCUCCUAACAAGUCCACUCCAGAACCCCCUCUCGAUGUAGUUGCUUCAACAGAGUAUUGUGCGAUACCCCUCUCUUUCUUCUUUCUGCUCCAGAUCAAUUGUCUCUUCGAUGUUCGUCAUACCAUCAUCCUCUUCAUCAUCGUAGGCCCCUCUAGAAGUUUGACCUUCUUCACAUUCCAGCACACAUGCUUCUUCUUCAUUAUCCUCCCUUUCUUCUUCUUCUUUCUUUUUGUUCUUGAAGUCGUUGGCUAGUAAGUAAUUAUUAGCCAUGAUAGGAGGUAACGUACCGAACUAAAUAGUAAGGAGCUGAUCUGGAUCUUCUCCAUCUCUUCUGUCUCGCUCAAACUUCGAUCUCCCAGAAGAAGUUUCUGGUAAUUCUUCCAUUGAUUCACCUGUACCAGUCUCUUCACUGUCUUUGCGAAUAUUUUGAUUGGCUACCUCGAGUAGUUUAGGCACUUUAGGACGUGGCAUUUCCUGUUGUUGCCUUAUCAUUCGUACAUAGUUCCAUUGAAAACGCCUUUGUUGGGUUCUAGUCAUCUCGUUGAAGGGUAUCACUCUUCCUGCGUUAUACUGGAACGAAUGCCAUACAUUUGGUUUGCAAGGUUGUGGCCUGAAUGUUCUCCCAUUAUUUACUAGCCUGAACUGCCUCUCAAAAGAUGGUCCCCUAUAGAAUGAUGUACCUCACCCUCUACCAGGCUGAACGUUUGGGAAAAAACUAGGGAGAUGGUGAUGCUGCCAUAUCCCUGAUUUCUCUGUAUUUGCACUCACUUCUCUUUUGCAUCUUGCACAUAGGACGUCUUCAUCCUUUUUGGGCUCUUUCCCUUUGAUACGUUCAAAGACACUAGGAUGUGGCCCAGGGUCCUCUUCCCCGUCAUCUAUAACCAACUUGAAUUUUGGUAACUUGUUUUUGAAACCAGUCGUCACCAUGUUCACCCAAGUGGUUGUGGAAAAGGGUUUUCAUCCACUGCCAUUUUCUUCUUGUCUUCGAACGUAACUCGUCCUGAUUCAAUGGCAUCCUGUAACACAUGGUGAAAAACCAAAUAGUUGUUAGUCAAAUGUGACCAUGCCUUAUGCCACUUACAAUAUUUUUUACCCUUAACAUGUUCAGGGCUUGGCAAUUUAUGUUUAUCGCUCAGCUUUAUCUGUUUAUCCUUAUAUAGUUUAUCAAAUAUAAGUCAGCUUUGGUUACAUUGAAUGAGAACGUUCUAGCCUUUUUGUUUUCAUCUUUUAUAGGCUUAUCCUUGCCCGACGGCUUAGGUUUAGCCAUUAUAGGACAAGUAUACGUAUAUCCUUUAAUCAAUUCGGCCAAACACAUUUCGGCUUGAUCGUAAUAUUCGUCAUUAAUGGUAUGAACAUCAAAAUUUGGGUCUCUAUAAUAAGUCCCCUUACUAGAAUUUUUCAUUUGCUCUUUUUCUCUUAUUAAUCGUUCAUACCUAAUCACGUUUGCGCUCAAUUGAAAAAGAUCAGGAAAUUCCUUGUCUUGAAAUUUCUUUUUCAAAUCAAAGCUUCAAUCUUGAGUGAUCUUGACAAACUCCUUUUCGAGCAAAGGUACACAACAUUUACUUCUUGCUGUCUUGAAUCUUUGAAGGAAACCUUCUGUCCAUUUGUUUGGCAUUUGACGCAGACUCGCCAAAUCGGCCAAAGUAACUUCAAACCCAGUCUUAUAAAACUGAGCCUGAAACAAUUUCUCCAAUUGUUGCCAUGUUUGAACAGAGUUCGCUGGAAAAUUGAUAAACCAGGAGAAAGCUACUCUUGUUAAUGAACUAGGGAACAACCUCAUUUUAUGGUAGUCUGUUACUUUACCACUUUGCAGUGUGAAUCGCCCUAUGUGUUCUAGAGUAGAUACCUCUCCUAAACCGGUAAAUAGUGAGAAUUCUGGCACUUUAUACCCUCUAAGCUAUAGAUAUGCUUGGUCUACCCAAUCAGGAUAUGGCUUUGUGUAAAUUGGCCUAAUGACAAGACGUACUCCAAAAGCCAUCUGAUCCCGUACUGUUUCCAUAAUUUCAUUCCUCAACAUGACGUUGGGGUCAUAUGGAAUUCCUACAGGUUGGUUGAUCGGUUGAUUUGCUUGAGGCCUGAUGUUUGGUCCUUGGUUGGCAACAAAGUUGCCUUAAUUUGGGCCAUUAUUACAAUGACCCUGAAUAUUUAUUCCAUCAUUAACACGUGGGGCAUUCUGUCCAUUAUUUAGGACAUUGUCUCUUACAUUUAGGUUACCCCCCAAGUUAGUUGUACCAUUAUCACUAUUCGGAUUUGGCAUUACACCAUCCCUUGGUUUGAAGUAAAGGGACCAAAAGGUGGUUCUAUCCCUUGAUUUGGACUCAGGACAGGGGGAUUAUGUCCCACAAUUGUCCUAUCUUGAAAGUGAUUUGCAAGAGGCACAACUGGCUGACAAAUUCGACCUACUAACUUAUUUUUUAGUUCAUUCAAAGUAUUCAGUUGUUUGGCCAUGUUGUCAUAAUGUGCAUUCCCAUUAUGGGUAAAUCUUUCCAUAUUAUGAAUAUUUCGUAGAUUUACCUGUUCAACGACAUCCUAUGUGAGUUCUCCAAGUAAUACACGCAUGGUUCGAGGACUCAACUCUGUCAUUAGUUCGUAACGACUGUUACUACUCUGACUCUGUCCCUCUGUCGUGGAGAGCUAUGCUGCUCCUCAUAUCGCUCGAUCACAGACUGGACUCCUCCCUCACUUGCUGCUUCCUUAUCAGAUUUGUGAGGUAUAUUGUUUUACCUUUUAUAUCUUCAACACCAAACACCAUUAUCCCACCGGGCGUGCCAAAUUGUUUCGCGCGGGUAGUCGCUAACAAUUAAAAAGGGAUCAGACGAUUGUGUAAGGAACAAACCUCUUGAAACGAAGUUUCAAAAAGGGGUGUUUUAUUCGCGAUGAUUUACAAUUGGAACUAAACAGAAUACCUCCAAGGAGCGCAAGCACACGAGUACUGAAAGAAAUGUUUAAGUUUAAAUUAAGAUAUUGAAAUUACAUAUUCUCUGUUUGAGAGUGUUUGAUUCGGGGUCCUUCUCUUUAUGUCUUCUCUUCCUUUUAUAUUCCCUUGAUGAUUUCUUCGUGACAAACCGUUUGGAAACUGUUUGAUUGCUUUAUAACUACUCACUUUCUUUAUAGUGGUUAACUUGUCGUGGAACUGCUGUUUCUAACUGUUGCUACUACUCUUUGUCGUUCAACCGCCUUCAACUGGGUUCCUUGAAUCGUGGAAUGUGAUAAGGUUACUCAAUAACUGCUUUAAUAAUUGCAUUUUUGGAUAACCAUAACAUUUUAUGUUUGCUAAGAUCCUGGACGAUUCGAAGGUAUGGGUGAGAACAGGGUUAUCGCUCUGGGCGACUGUAAGGCACUCCAUUCGCUCAAAUUUCGGGCGUCUUGCAAGCUUGGGCGAUGAUAUUACUAUGUUUGUGGGCUUUCACUGCAUUCAUUAAUAAUCCUAUCUGGGUCUUUAUCCUAAAUUUCCCAAUUAGGCUUUAUUCUUUGGGCUAUUUGAUUUGGGAUUCCUCAAUUAGGCUUCAUUCCUUGGGCUAUUCGAUUUGGGCUGCACUUUUAGUGUAUCAACAAAAACAAAAUAAAUACCUAUAUCAAUUAAACAGCUUCUUAAUGAGAAAAUCCAUAACUGAUCCAGUUUCUGGCUUUCUGAGAUAUUGACAUAAAAUAAGCUGUUCUAUUAUUUUACUCCAACAAUUCCUAAUUAUAUAUAAUUUGUAUUGGUAUUAUUCAACUAUUAAAUAUUCAAAUUAGAUUCUGGAAUCCGUACAAAUUGGACUAUGUUGAUAGAAAAAAAGCUUUAGAAAAAAAAGCUAAAGCGCAUCUGUGAGAAAUAAUAAUCUUUUUCUUAUUCAUGGCCUUUGAAUGAAAGGCAAAAGAAUGUAUAGAUUACGCAAAUGGAAUAGACAGUCAAUAAUGGCCUACUAUGUUAUAGAUAGAGCCAAUUUGCAUUGACCCGGUGAUAGAACUUAAACCACUUGUUAUGAAUGUUAAAGGAAAGAAAUAUGGAUAAAAUGAAAAUAAUGAAUCACACAGAAACACAAUAUUUACGUAGAAAUCCAAAUUCGGAAAUACCACGCACAGAGAGGCGAAAUAUUUACUGUAAUCAAUAGCAAUGAAAUACAAAAGGAGGUCCACAUGACAAAUUAAAAUUUUCCCAAUAAGAAAAAGAAACAUAUUUGUCAUGUGGACCUAUAUAAUAUGGAGAAACCAAUUGAAAUGAAACAGCUUCAUGAUGGGCUCUAAAGAAAUUCUAGACACGGAUAAAAGUCUCAUGUUCAAAUAUAUUCACACCAAAUAGGCCGGCUGUUGUAUUAUAUUGAAAUCUCAACAAGUAGAUAUACAGCGUAGAAGCUGUACAAAUGUGACGAUUAAAGCUCCAACUAGUCAGCCCAUUAAAAAUAUUUUCUUAUUCAAAGCAGACGUGGGAAAAUAGAAAUGGAAUAAACUGAUUAUAAACCGAAAAUGUAUCGUCAAAUGGCGUGCUAAUAUAUUAAAUUUUAAGGCGCAGUUUGACUAUAAUAUUCAAAUGUUUUCUACUACACCACCGCUAUAUAUACCAUGUUCAGCUGCUGUUUCCUGCACAGCUCUUCACUUCUUCUCUAUUGUAAUUCACUUAACUUUUCAACUAUUCAAGGUAAAUAUGGGUAUCUCCAACUAUUUCCAUGAACUCAAAACUAAUGUUUCUCACAAGAGGCUGUUCAAGGCUUUGAUCACCGAUAACCACGAUGUUUUGCCGAAAGUCUCCCCUUCCAUCAAGAGCAUUGAGACAAUUGAAGGAGAUGGUGGUGCUGGAAGUGUCAAAAAGACAAACUUUUCUGAAUCUGAAGGUUAGUCCAAAUAUUAAAAUCGCGAAAAAAGAAUGAGAACGUAAUAUUUUGUAUAUAUGCAGUACUAUUGUGUCAAAGGUCCUUCUUCUUUUUCUUUUUUUCUUUUCUCCUUUUUUUAAAAUUUUUAAAUUUUUUAUUAUUUUUAUUAUUUUUACGACACCAGACAAAAUAAAACAUGUCCGAAGUUUUGUUCAUUUUACAUACUCUCAUGAGCAUUUGCGUUACAUAACAGGGUCUCACUUCAAGCACAUGAAGACCAAGGUCGACUCCUUGGACAAAGAAAACUACGUGGCCAAGUUCACUUUGGUUGAGGGAGAUGCACUUGGUGACGAGCUUGAAAAGGUAUGUUACGAUAUGAAAUUCGAGGACUCAAAGGAUGGAGGAUGUGUCCUCAAGAUCACCAGUGAGUAUCAUUCAAAGGGUGAUAUUGUACCUAAAGAAGAGGAUAUUAAAGCAGCCCAGGAACAUACUAUGGGACUCUACAAGUCUUGUGCAGAUUACCUGAUUGCCAAUCCUCAUGUUUGUGUCUAAAUAAUUUCUAGUUAUAUUUCCGAUUUUCAGUAUUUCCUUAAUAAAGAACUUUGUUCUACUCUUCCAUUGAAGUUUGUUCUUAUCCAACUGUUAUCAAAAUUUAUGGUACAACAUUAAGAUGAAAUUUUAGCAAGGUUCAGGUCUUUGCCUUAAUAAAGCGAAUUUGUUUGUUUAUUUCCAUCCACGUCUAUUUAUUCCUAUUUCAUGUCGAAUUUUCAACGAAUAGUACCGAAUUUCAUCAAAUUACAUGUGAGCUUGCUAUUUAUAUCUGUUUCUUUGCACGUAAAUUUCAGUUGCAAAGAAAUUUUAUCUAGAUAUGGAGUAAUUAAAACUUCCAUUUGAUUGUAAAGGUGAAAAAGGCAAAUCAAUUUGAUAUAAGUUGGAAAAGAAAAACCACCAAAACCAUAGGAAUGCAUUUUCAAUGGAAUUGGCCAAAAACAUGUUUUUAAGUGUUUGUAACCUGGAAUUCGAACUCCAUUUUCACUUUCGUAUCAAACAGGCAAAAUAGAAAACAAAUUCCUCGAAUAUGACAUUUUAUAUUGAAUUGAAGUCAAUCAAACGGAGCCUAGGACCCUCUUAAUAAUUACCUGAUCCAAGAAAUGAACGAGGACAAAAAAAGCUGUGGAAUAGUUAUAUCUAACUUUUGUACAUUGGAUUUUUUGCAUAAUUAAUUGAAGUUACUUUUAGGGCCUGUUUGAUUGCAAAGAUGGAAUUUGGAUGAAGAGAAAAUGAAUUUUAGGGAGUGAAAUUGUCUAGAAAGUAUUUUACUGAAAAUUGUCAAUUAUUAUGUUUGAUUGGUAUAAUUUUUUAUGUUGAAAAUGUUGAAAUAAAAGUAUUUUUUGGUAUUUGUCUGGCUUUAUUUUACAUGAAAAUUGUCAUUUAAAUUAAUAGAAUUUACUGGUAUAGGGGAUAAAAUUUGUUUCCAUUGCCAAAAAAAAAAAGACAAGAAAAUCAUCCAUCUUUUAGCGUUCGUUUGACUUUGUUUUACAUGAAAAUUGUCAAUUAAAGGAAUAUAUAUAUAUAUAUAUAUUUUACACAAUUAGGGAUAGAAUUUGUUUCCAUUGUCAAAAAAAUAAAAAAAGAAAAGCAACCAAAAAAACCAAUUCCCAACUAACCCAAAGGAAUACAAAUUCCUCAUUUUCGUGGAAAAUAGGAUCACGAACCAGAAAACUAGAAAAUGAAUUGCCAGGAAUAUAUUACCUAUCAAAAAUGACAAAAAGUGAAAAUGACAUUUUCAAUUCCAACUUCCAUGAAUAAUAUGGCGUAUCAAACGGAGCCUUACUGUUUUGCCUAAAGUCUCCCCAUCCAUCAAGAGCAUUGAGACAAUUGAAGGAGAUGGUGGUGCUGGGAGUGUCAAAUAGACAAACUUCUUUGAAUCUGAUGGUUAGUCCAAAUAUUAAAAUCGCGAAAGAAGAAUGAGAACAUAAUAUUUUGUAUAUAUGUAGUACUAUUGUGUCAAACGUCAUCAAAUAUACCAUACUAAAUAAGUCAUAAAUUUGUAGUUGUCACCAAAAAAAAAAAAAAGAAGAACUAGACCAAAUAAAACAUGUCCGAAGUUUUGUUCAUUUUACAUACUCUCAUGAGCAUCUGCGUUAUAUAAUAGGAUCUUACUUCAAACACAUGAAGACCACGGUCAACUUUCUGGACAAAGAAAAUUACGUGGGCAAGUUCACUUUGGUUGAGGGAGACACGCUUGAAAAGGUAUGUUACGAGAUGAAAUUUGAGGACUCAAAGGAUGGAGGAUGUGUCCUCAAGAUCACCAGUGAGUAUCAUUCCAAGGGUGAUGUUAUCCCUAAAGAAGAGGAUAUUAAAGCAGCCCAGGAACAUACUAUGGGACUCUACAAGUCUUGUGCAGAUUAUCUGAUCGCCAAUCCUCAUGUUAGUGUCUAAAUAAUUUCUAGUUAUGUUUCCGAUUUUCUGUAUUCCCUUGAUAAAGAACUUUGUUCUACUCUUCCAUUGAAUGUUGUUCUUAUCCAACUAUCAUCAAAAUUUACGGUACAACAUUAAGAUGAAAUUUUAGCAAAGUUCAGGUCUUUGCUUUAAUAAAACGAAUUUGUUUGUUUGUUUCCAUCCGCGUCUAUUUAUUCCUCUUUCAUAUCUAAUUUUCGAUGAAUAGUACCAAAUUUCAUCAAAUUACAUGUAAGCUCGCUAUUUAUAUCUGUUUCAUUGCAAAUAAAAAUCGGUCGCAAAUAAAUUUUAUUUAGAUUUUCACUACUUAAAACUAAGAUCCCUUUAAUUAUUACCUGAUCCAAGAAAUGAAUAUGGAUAGAAAAAGCUAUGGAAUAGUUACACAUAACUUUUGUUCGUUGGAUUUUUUUGCAUAAUUAAUUGAAGUUACUUUUAUUACUAACACGUCAUUAUAUUUGAGAAAUAGUUAAACAUAUAAUGCUUUUUAUUUUUAUUUUUACGAUUAGACUAAUAAGGAUAUUGAUGUUAAGUCAGACAUAAUUUAAAAUCAAAAGUAAAUCCUUGAGUUGUAUAUUCUACAAAAAAAUAAAAAUACACACACACACACACUACGUUUGAGCCAAAUUUUGCCAAUUUUUCAUUUUAGUCCCCGAACUCUCUUCCAAUGUGCAAUUUGGUCCUUUUUCAUUUCUUUUCAAUCCUUAGCCUUUCUUUUUUAUCCAACUGACUCUUAGCACUCUCCAAUCGUCGAUAUAAUAUCUGAAUCAACUUUUAAGAGUUUUCAAUUUAGACCUCAAACUUUAAAAUUUUUCCCUUUUUUUUUUUUUUUUUUCCAUUUUUCACUCAUUUCGUCCAACUCCAUCAUUUUGUUUCAAAUUUCUCCUAACAAACGAAAUAUAUUCAAAUUUUUGUGAUAAAUAAUAUUAAAUAAUAGAAUCCGAAAAUCCAAGUUUAAGUGAUUUGUUAAUUACAAGGAGUUGUGAUUGUGAGAUACAAAUUACAUAUAAUUGGAUCUUGAAUAAACCGUGGUCGUAAGUAAUAACGAGAUACGGAUAUCGUUAAUACAGUUAGACCAUCACAUUUGGCAUUUCUUACUUGUGAAGUAAGUAGCUGAUCUCACGAGCUAAAGUGUGGUGACACUUAAAUGAACACGUGGAUGUUUGUUAUAGAACAAAAUAUUGGAGACCCACUGAGAGAUUCCACAUAGAUAACUAUCUGAGUGUCAGUGGUUAAUCUCUAACGUUCAGUAGUGAAAUUGGUUCUAUAACUUGAGGUCAUCAUAGUGCCUUAUAUGAGGACGGUCAUACUUUGACGGUGUUGGAUGUUGCUCUGCCAAGGGCUGCUAAUACGACAUCGUUCGGGUAUGUCAAGAACCAUAUGAAGGUUGUGAAUGACCAAUAGAUGAUUCAUCACUUUUAGAUGGUAAGAGAUUGUGAUCUGCAUUUCGUUCAAUUAAGUCAAUAACAAAAUCCUUGGCCAAGGUAUACAUAUAAGUCGAAAAGAAAUUUUCAACUCAUAUUGACUUAAUAGUAGAAUGAAAGAUAUGAUCGAUAAUCGAGAUUGACACACUUCCAUAUCUCGUAGUUGAUCGGAUCAUAUUGACGAAGGGAUUAUAAUUUCAUGGUAAACGAACAGUUUUGGUUUUGUCAUACCACGUGACAUUUCCCGUCACAUGUGUUGCCCUGAUACAUUGUUAGAUGUCAGUAUGGGACGGCGAGUGUGAAUUUGUGAUAAAUUAAAUGGGUGUUUAAUUUAUCAGUUUUGAUUAGAUCAAAAUAAUAUUUCACGUCAUUAGGUGUCGUGGUCGGGAACCUAAUGGGUCGCACACAAAAGAGAAUUGGAAGAUUGCAAAUUGCCAAUUGAUUAAUUUAACAAUCGUUGGAUACAUUAAUUAAUUGAAUUUGUUAUUUAUAUUCCCGAAUUAAUUAGUUCACGGAUCGGGUUUAAUUAAAUGGAUUAAUUAAACAUUGGACAGGACCGGGCCAAGCCCGUUUGGGUUUAUAUAAAUACAUGGCUAGAGUUUGAGAUCUAUAAGGUUUUCAUUAUUCUUGCUGGCACAAGAGGAAAAAUCCUACCAGUUGCAGUCUAUUCUCUGCGUGGAUUUCAUUGGAGGCUGAACAAUUGGACAGUUGUGGAAGGCAGAUUCAAACUGCUCGAAAGGAAUAACGCGAAGGAGUUUGCAAAAUCAAGAAAGUGUAUAUUUCUUAUCACAAUUCUUAUCUAAAUAUAAAGUUGAAUCUCGAAUUGGAAUUGAAAUUUGUUUAAAUCUGGUGUGCAUGUUUAAGUAAAUUCUCAACAGUGGUAUCAGAGCCAACUUUGUAUUUGUUAAGAAUUGAUCUAUAUAUUGAUUAAAUUAAAAGUUAAUUUAAUCAUGUUAAUCCAUGAAUCUAGCAAUUGUAGUUUUAGUUUUAUUUUUCUUUCCAGAAUCUGAUUUUGAAAGAACACAAAAAAAAGUUUUUUUUUCUUGGAUCGAGGCAGCGGGACAGUGGCGGCUGCGCGCACGCCACAGCCACGCGUAGCGUGCGCUGCUGCGUACUGCAGGCGCAUCAAGCGGCGGCUAGGCUGCUGCUGUGGUGGGCUGGGGGGUAACUGUCGACAGUUCCCCUACCGGCUGUUGGGCAGGGCGGCGCCGGGUAACAAAAAAAAAAUUUAAGGUUUUGGCGGAGACGGGGGCCUCUGUUGCAAAUAAUGCAAUUAGGGGCCCCUGAUUGCAAUUACAAAAAUGGGGUCAGUUUGCAAAAUUUAAAAGGGGGACCUGUUCUACAAUUUUUAAUUUGGAAGGGUCCGGUGUUAAUUUCCAAAUUGGGUUAAAUUUGUAAAUUGUCAAAAAUGAUUUUGAAUUGAUUUUAAAAUGAUGUUUUAAUUGGGUUUGACCCAUACCAUAAUUUUGAUCCAAAAUUAAAAUUUAUUUAAAAUUUGACUACUUUUAUAUUUUUGUUAAAAUUAGGUUUUAACUUAAAUAUUUAAUUUUGACCCUUAAUUGAAUUUUAUUUUAUUUGGAAAUUUUGUCCUAAAUUAAAAUAUUAAUUCAAUUUUAUUAAAGUUGGACUCUAAUAUUAUAUUAAUUAAAAUUUGAUUUCAAUUAAUACCACUUCCCAAUGCAAAUUAAAAUUUAGAGUAUGACUCUAAUUUAAUAAUUAAUUAAAAUUCGAUUUUGAUUAAAUUACUUCGCCGAAUAGUUAUGGAAUUAGAGUUGGACUCUAAUUCGGGAUUUAGUUAAAAUUUGAUUUUAAUUAAAUUGGCUCGCCAAUUAAGUUAAUUAAUUAAUAUGAUUAAUUAAUUAUUUAAUUAUCUCGAUCCAAAAUUUUGAAUUUGUUUUGAUGACUAUAAUUGCUAGAUUUAUGAGACUUUAUAUAUAAUAUUAGAUAUUAUACAUAAGAAAUAUUUAUGUGAUGAAUGUUUAUGGAUGAUUAUGGACUCGACCAUGUGGAUGUGUUGAAUGAUUGAUUUACUUCUUUUUGUUUUAUCGGCCUGGGAGUCCGUUGUUAUUAUUGUUGUUAUAGGCCUGCGAGCUCUUUAUUAUAUUGGACCUGGGAGUCCGUUGUUAUUGUUAUUAUUAUGGGCAUGCGAGUCCGUUUUCUUUUAGGCUUGCGUGUCAAUUAGUAUAGGAUACAUGUUGCAGUUUGACUAAUUGGAGGCACAAGAAGAGGUGGACACCAUGAAGAUGGUGCUUUCUGUUGAUCCAAUGUUGUAUCCCUUAGGAAUUGACCAACUAGUUUUCCUUUUAGUUCGGGAAAACUAAAUAGAACAAGUCCAUAAUCAUCCAUGCUAUUACUUAUAUAUAUAUAUUUAUUCGCAUAUUAGAUAUGUGUGUGUGUGUGUGUGUAUACACACACACACACACACACACACACACACAUAUAAUAACUUGAUGAGACUAUUGCACGUUAAAUUCCUCGUUAAAAAUAUUAAGUUAGUAUUAUUUGCCUUUUAUCAUUAUAGUGUAAAACGAGAAUCUUAAAUUGACUUUAGCUUGUUCAGUAUACUCAAGGCUGGUCUAUUAGGGAUAUGUUUGACACUAUGAAAUAUUUGAUAUUUCUGAAUGAUGGGUUUGAUUUAACUAAAAUUUAUCUUUUGUUGAGUACACUCAAGGAGAUAAGUUUUAGAGGCAUGUUAAGCUAACAUAUAACAUGUGUGAAGACAAAAGAGUUGUCAGCUUAAUGAUCUGGAAGUUAUAUGGAGAUACAAUUGAUAAUAAUAUCUACCCAAAUGUUUUAUUAGGAUUUGUUGAGUACACUCAAGAUCUUGAUACAAUGAAUGGGAUCCCAGCCCACUGAGAAUCAAAUGUGGAUUCAAAUAAUUUAUGUAUGAGGGUCAUGAAUUUAUUUUAAAUAGUGGGAGCACGUUUAAUUAAAGUCCAUAUUGAAUUUAUGCAUAUGCAUUAUAAUACAUAUUAAUUCUAUGUUUUUCGUCAUUUACAGUUUUUGAAUCAUGAGUAAUCAUAUAAAUUUGAGAGGCAUACUGGAUGCCAACAAACUGACUGGACCAAAUUUUCUCGAUUAGCACCACAAUUUGAGAAUCAUUCUCAAGCAUGAGAAAAUUAGAUAUGUCCUUGAGUAGCCCUUUCCAGUGGUGCCUACUAAAAAUUCCAUUCAGGAAGAGGUGGCUGCUUACAACAAACAUAGUGACGACAAUAAUACUACAGCAUGUGUGAUGCUUGCAGCUAUGUCACCUGAGUUGCAGAAACAGCAUGAGGGUAUGGAUGCUUACACUAUGAUUUUUCAUCUCAAGAAAUUGUAUAAUGAACAAUCUCGUGUGGAGAGGUAUGAGACCUUUAAACAACUAUACCGGUGCAAAAUGGUAGAGGGAUCUUCAGUCAGUGCUCAUAUGCUGAAAAUGAUUGGUUUCAUUGAAAAACUGGGUUCACUAGGUUUUAUCAUGGAUCAUGAACUAAGUAUUCACUUGGUUUUGCAAUCUCUGCCAGAUAGUUAUUCACAGUUCAUUAUGAAAUUUAAUAUGAAUAAGAUCGAAUGCAUACUCUCUGAGUUGCUUAAUAUGCUUAAAACUGUGGAGCCCAAUGUCAAGGCUAGCACUAGACAUGUCUUAGCUAUUCAUUCAUCCAAGGACACUAAGAGGAAAAUCAAAGGAAGUUUUAAAAAAACAUCCAAAAAGGUUAAGGGCAAUAACAAAGCAGGCAAGGACAAUACCAAAUCUGAUGACCCAUGCUAUCACUGUGGAGUGAAAGGUCAUUGGAAGAGGAACUGCAAGGCUUACCUUGCUAGUUUGAAGGGAAAGAAGUCUUCUGAAAUUUCUACUUCAGGUAUUUUUGUUAUCGAGGUUAAUAUGUCUACUGCAUUAGCUUCUUGGGUAUUAGAUACCGGAUGUGGAUCUCAUAUUUGUAUAAAUAUGCAGGGACUAAAGAGAAGUAGACCACUGCAGAAAAGAGAAGUUGACCUGCGCGUGGAAAAUGUAGCAAGAGUUACUGCAUUAGCUGUAGGGACAUACUUCUUACCACUGCCUUCGGGCUUAGUAUUAGCAUUAGAAAAUUGCUAUUUUGUUCCCACCAUUACUAAAAACAUUAUUUCUAUUUCGUGUUUGGACAUGAAUAGUUUUUCAAUUGAUGUUAAGAACAAUCGUUGUUCAUUUUAUAAAGAUGAGAUCUUUUAUGUUGUGGUGUGUUGCAAAAUGGAAUUUAUAUUCUUAAUACUGAGUCGUCUAUUAUGAAUAUAGAAAAUAAAAGGUAUAAAAGUGAUAAUCUAAAUAAUACAUAUCUCUGACAUUGCAGAUUGGGUCAUAUUAACGACAAACGCAUUUCUAAGUUACAUAAAGAUGGAUACUUGGGGUCAACUAAUUUUGAAUCAUUUGACAAAUGCGAGUCGUGCCUGUUAGGCAAAAUGACCAAGUUUCCUUUUACUGGAAAAGGAGAAAGAACCACAGAAUUGCUGGGACUAAUACAUACUGAUGUAUGUGGACCCAUGUCAAUAACUGCCAGAGGUGUUUUCUCUUACUUCAUUACAUUCACUGAUAAUCAUUCUAGAUAUGUUUAUGUGUGUAUGAUGAAAUUCAAGCAUGAAGCACUUGAAAAGUUCAAGAAAUUCAAACUUGAAGUAUAGAAACAGACUAGUAAAAAUAUUCUCAUGCUGAGAUCAGAUCGAGGUAGAGAAUAUUUAAAGUGAGAAUUUUUAGAUUAUCUUAAAGAGAAUGGGAUUCUCUCGUAGUGGACUCUGCCAUAUACACCGCAACAUAAUGGUGUAUCUGAACGGAGGAAUCGCACUUUGUUAGACAUGGUGCGAUCUAUAAUGAGCCAUGCAAACAUCCCAAAAUCAUUUUGGGGUCAUACACUAAUUGCUGUGUGCUACACAUUUAAUCGUAUCCCAUCUAAACCAGUCCACAAAACUCCAUACGAGCUAUGGAGAGGAAAAAGACCAAACUUAUCUCAUAUGAAAGUUUGGAGCUGUGACGCUUAUGUAAAGCAAAAUGAAUCAGAUAAGCUUGAGGCUAAAUCUGACAAAUGCGUAUUUGUGGGAUAUCCAAAAGAGAUAAUUGGAUAUCAGUUUUAUAAUCCCGUUGAGAAAAAGGUGUUCAUCUCAAGGCAUGCCAUAUUCCUAGAGAAAGAGUUUAUUCUAGUAGAGGGUAGCGGGAGCAAACUAGAACUUGAAGAAGUUCAAGAAUUCAUAGAUACUGUUGACCAAUUAGAUGAACCUGAGUCUGAUCCUACACCUGUUGACGAACAGACUCUUGAUCAGGAUGUAGAGAACUCUGAGGACACUCCAGCUCAGCGUAAAUCAAGUAGGAUCAUUCGAUCUCCCAGAAGGUACGGAUUCACCAUUACUAAUAAAGUAUUAUUAUUCGAGGAUGAUGAACUUACAAAUUACGCAGAAGCGAAGUCAAGUGUUGACUCGAAGAGAUGGCAAGAAGCCAUGGAAUCCGAAAUUAACUCAAUGUAUGAGAACAAUAUUUGGGCCUUGGUUGACCUUCCAGGUGGGAUAAAAUCGAUAGGUUGUAAAUGGGUUUACAAGAAAAAGGUCGAUGUAGAUGGAAACGUCCAUACAUACAAAGCAACGCUAGUAGCGAAGGGUUACACACAAAGACAAGGUGUUGACUUUGAUGAAACUUUUUCGUCUGUAGCCAUGCUAAAGUCCAUUCGGAUUUUGCUUGCAAUAGCUACAUACCAUGAUUAUGAGAUAUGACAAAUGGAUAUCAAAACUGCUUUCCUUAAUGGAAACUUACAAGAGGAGGUGUACAUGACACAGCCUGAAAGUUUUGAAUCCAAAGGAGCCAACAAAGUAUGUAAGCUAAAUCAAUCCAUUUAUGGAUUAAAGCAAGUCUCAGGAGUUGGAAUCUUCGUUUUGAUGAAACAAUCAAAAGAUUUGAUUUUAUCAAAAAUGAAGAUGAACCGUGUGUUUACAAGAAGACAAGUGGGAGCGCGGUCGUAUUCCUAAUAUUAUAUGUCGAUGACAUAUUAUUAAUGGGAAACGACAUCUCAAUGCUUCAAUCGGUAAAAUUAUGGUUGUCAAAGAAUUUCUCCAUGAAAGAUAUGGAAGAAGCAGCGUAUAUCUUGGGAAUCAAGAUCUAUAGAGAUAGAUCUAAAAGAUUACUAGGCUUAUCCCAAUCUUCGUACAUAGAUAAAAUCUUGAGAAGAUUUAAUAUGGAAGAGUCUAAAAGAGGUUUAUGUCCCAUGUCGCAUGGGAUUUACCUCUCAAAAGAUAUGUGUCUUAAAACACAUGAUGAAAGGAGUCACAUGGAUAAGAUUCCUUAUGCUUCGGCGAUAGGAUCUAUCAUGUAUGCGAUGCUAUGUACGAGACCAGAUGUUUCAUAUGCUCUAAGUGUUACGAGCAAGUUUCAAGGAAACCCUGGUGAGAAACACUGGAUAGCAGUUAAGAACAUUCUUAAGUAUUUGAGAAGGACUAAAGAUGUGUUCUUGAUCUAUGGAGGAAAUGAACUAAAAAUUCAUGGGUAUACUGAUGCCAGCUUUCAAACUGACAAAGAUGAUAGCAAGUCUCAAUUAGGAUAUAUGUUUACUCUCAACAAUGGAGCGGUUACUUGGAAAAGUUCCAAACAGGAGACAACCUCUAAUUCAACAACAGAAGCCGAGUACAUUGCUGCUUCUGAAGCAACGAAGGGAACUGUCUAGAUUAAGAAGUUCAUUAAUCAACUUGGAGUCGUUCCUAGUAUUGUUGAUCCCAUACCUUUGUAUAGUGAUAACAAUGGAGCCAUCGCACAAGCAAAGGAACCGAGGUCUCAUCAACGAUCCAAACAUGUGCUAAGGCGAUAUCAUCUCAUCAAGGAGAUUAUACAAACAAAUGACAUAACGAUAGAGCGAGUUCCGACAGAAGACGAUAUUGUAGAUCCACUGACAAAGCCAUUGUCACAACAAAAACAUGAUCAUUAUGUGGACGCUUAUGGUAUUAGAUACAUGAAUGAUUGGAUCUAGUGCAAGUGAGAGUUUGUAAGUGUUAUGCCCUAGAUCUAAUCUAUGUAGGUUGUAAACACUUUUAAUAUGUUUAAUGCAUUUAAUUUUGGCGAGAUCUAUUAUUUAUUUAAAUUAAUUUUGUGAUAAAUAAUAGAAUCCGAAGAUCCAAGUUUAAGUGAUUUGUUAAUCACAAAGAGUUGUGAUUGUGAGAUACAAAUUACAUAUAAUUGGAUUUUGAAUAAACCGUGGUCGUAAGUAAUAACGAGAUACGGAUAUCGUUAAUACAGUUAGACCAUCACGUGUGGCAUUUCUUACUUGUGAAGUAAGUAGCUGAUCUCACGAGUUAAAGUGUGGUGACAAUUAAAUGAACACGUGGAUGUUUUGUCAUAGAACAAAACAUUGGAGACCCGCUGAGAGAUUCCACAUGGAUAACUAUCUGAGUGCCAGUGGUUAAUCUCUAACGUUCGAUAGUGGAAUUGGUCCUAUAACUUGAGGUCAUCAUAGUGCUUUGUAUGAGGGCAGUCAUACUUUGACGGUGUUGAAUGUUGCUCUGCCAAUGGCCGCUAAUACGACAUCGUUCGGGUAUGUCAAGAACCAUAUGAAGGUUGUGAAUGACCAAUAGAGGAUUCGUCACUCUUAGAUAGUAAGAGAUUAUGAUCUGCAUUUCGUUCAAUUAAGUCAAUAACGAAAUCCUUGGCCAAGGUAUACAUAUAAGUCGAAAAUGAGUUUUCGACUCAUAUUGACUUAAUAGUAGAAUGAAAGAUAUGAUCGAUAAUCGAGAUUGACACACUUCCAUAUCUCGUAGUUGAUCGGAUCAUAUUGACGAAGGGAUUAUAAUUUCAUGGUAAACGAACAGUUUUGGUUUUGUCAUACCACGUGACAUUUCCCAUUACAUGUGUUGCCCUGAUACAUUGUUAGAUGUUAAUCUGGGACGGCGAGUGUGAAUUUGUGAUAAAUUAAAAGGGUGUUUAAUUUAUCAAUUUUGAUUAAAUCAAAAUAAUAUUUCACGUCGUUAGGCAUCGUGGUCGGGAACCUAAUGGAUUGCACACAAAGGAGAAUUGGAAGAUUGUAAAUUGCCAAUUGAUUAAUUUAACAAUCGUUGGAUAAAUUAAUUAAUUGAAUUUGUUAUUUAUAUUCUCGAAUUAAUUAAUUGGAUUAAUUAAUUCACGGACCGGUUUAAUUAAAUGGAUUAAUUAAACAUUGGACCGGAUCGGAUCGAGCCCGUUUGGGUUUAUAUAAAUACAUGACUAGGGUUUGAGGUCCAUAAGGUUUUCAUUAUUCUUGCUGGCACAAGAGGAAAAACCCUACCAGUUGCAGUCUAUUCUCUGUGUGGAUUUCAUUGGAGGCUGAACAAUUGGACAGUUGUGGGAGGCAGAUUCAAGCUGUUGGAAAGGAAUAACGCGAAGGAGUUUGCAAAAUCAAGAACAGGUAUAUUUCUUAUCACAGUUCUUAUCUAAAUACAAAGUUGAAUCCUGAAUGGGAAUUGAAAUUUGUUUAAUUCCGCUGUGCAUGUUUAAAUAAAUUCCCAACAAUUUUUAUAUACAUUUAAUUAAGUAAAUAAAAAAUAUACUUAAAAUGUAUGUAUAUAAAACACAAAUAUGCGGUGUAACAAAAGAUUUGUGUGGUGGCAAUAUAUUCAUCCAUAGUUAAAACAAUCAAGGAAGAGGUUCGAAUAGGUUUUCAUCAAUUUCAAAUUUUAUGCCGAAGGAUAUUCAUUUCAAAUUAAUUUAAACCUUAAUUCGGACUUAGGAGUGAUUUCAAACCAGAAGUAUUGCAUAGAAUUUGAUUGGAUAAGCAUGCUGAUUGUUCUUAAUUGAUUUUAAGAGAAUUUUAAAAAGUUAAUGUUAUUUGACCAGUUAGUCAAGCCGAAUAAAACAUUCGUUAAACCUAAACUAAUUAAGAUUAGAAACGACGAAUUUAACAUGGUAAACUCAGUCUUACAGACUAGAAAUAAAAAUCACAGCAUCUCUUUGAAAAUUGAUUAGGAGAAACUCAGAAGAAACAAGAAUAAAUAUUCGAGUUAUAUUAAUCAUAAUAUAUAUGUUUGGCUGAGAUCAAAAAGUUUACUUGUAAGUAUGUAUUUUUGUUAAAAUUAUUUUCGCUUAAUUUGGUUAUACUUGCAAAUAUGUAAUUUCAAUGUCUGGAUAAUGAAAUAAAACGUUAUUUCAAGGAGAGCAUAUUUUUAUUUAAAAAUAUGUUAAAGAAAAGUUUAGAGAUAAAAGUAAACUUAACUUCAUAAUGAGAAAAUUCAGAACUGAUCCAGUUUCUGGCAUUCAGAGAUAUUGACAUCAAAUAAGCUAUUGUAUUAUUUGACUCCAAUAGUUCCUAAUAUUAUAUUAUUUGUAAUGGUAUUAUUCAAGUAUUAAAUAUUCAAUUUGGAUUCUGGGAACCCUACAAAUUGGACUAUGUUGAUAGAAAAAAGCUAAGAUGCAUCCUGAGAAAUAAUAAUUUUUUUCUUAUUCAUGGCCUUUGAAUGAAAGGCAAUAGAAUGCAUAGAUUUUGCAAAUGGAAUGGAUAGUCAAUAAUGGCGUACUAUGUUAUAGAUAACGCCAAUAUGCAAUAACAUGAUGAUAGAACUUAAACCACUUGUUAUGAAUAUUAAAGACAAGAAAUAUGGGCCCCAGGGCACAUUUUCAAGUGGUAAAAGGGGAGAGUGGAGAAAUCCAAUUUUGCUUGAGGUUGUUGCGUCAAGGGUUCGAAUCCUGAAAUAUGGAUUUGGCUCUUGGGUAAGUGCAAGUGUACAAGCAGCCUUUCACCCUUUACCCUUGGAGGCAUAACCUGCGAUUUACCUCCCUCACGAUACUCCAGGACAGGGGUGGUGGGGGACCCUUAAAGUUAGGGUUUAACCUUUUAAAGACAAGAAAUAUGGACAACAUAAAAAUAAUGAAUCACAUAAGAUUUAUGCACAAACCCAAAUUCGGGAAUACCACGAGCAGAGAGAUGAAAAAUUUACUAUAAUCAAUAGCAAUGAAAUACAAAAGGAGGUCCAUGUGACAAAUUAAAAUUUUCUCAAAUAAACAUAAAAAAAAAAAAUGAAACAGCUUCAUGAUGGGCUCUAAAGAAAUUCUAGACAUGGCUAAAAGUUCUCAUGUUCAAAUAUAUUCACAUCAAUUAGGCCGGCUGUGGGGUAUUGUAUUUAAAUCUAAACUAGUAGAUAUAAAUGUAGAAGCUGUACAAUUUUGAUGAUUAAAGCUCCAACGAGACAGUCCACUAAAAAUAUUUUCUUAUUCAUAGCAGACUUGGGAAAAUAGCAAAAGAAUAAAUUGAUUAUAAACAGAAAAUGUAUCGUCAAUAAUGGCGUGCUAAAAUAUUAAAUUUUAAACUGUAGUUUAGCUAUAAUAUUAAAAUGAUGUUAUCCACAACACCACCGCUAUAUGUACCAUGUUCAGCUUCUGUAUUCUGCACAGCUCUACACUUCUUUUCUGUUGUAAUUCACUCCAAGUUUUCAACGAGUCUUCAUAGGUUAUACUAUUCAAGGUAAAUAUGGGUAUCUCCAACUAUUUCCAUGAACUCAAAACUAAUGUUUCUCCCAAGAGGCUGUUCAAGGCUUUGAUCACCGAUAACCACGAUGUUUUGCCGAAAGUCUCCCCAUCCAUCAAGAGCAUUGAGACAAUUGAAGGAGAUGGUGGUGCUGGAAGUGUCAAAAAGACAAACUUUUCUGAAUCUGAAGGUUAGUCCAAAUAUUAAAAUCGCGAAAAAAGAAUGAGAACGUAAUAUUUUGUACAUAUGCAGUACUAUUGAUUAUAGCAAUAGAAUAAAUUGAUUUCCAGAUUUAUUAGAAAGAACUGUACUCAACAAAAUUGAACAGAGCACGUACCUUUGUGAUUUUGGAAGUUUAGAACAUGCAGCAAAAUGAUUAGAACGUUGGAUACAAAGUAAUGAAGAUGUCAGGCUCUUCAGACCAUAUUAUUAUUAUUUUGAAACCUCAGACCACAUUAUUAUACUAUCAAAUGCUCGAUUAGGAAUGAAAAAAAUUUGCACCCUGCGCUGCCUGCAUAGUCCUGCAGUAGAAAAUUCGCGCCCCAAAUGGUAAACGGGACAAAAAAUAGGAAACAUGGUCCCCAUCCCAAAAACUUUUUAUGAAAUUGUUUCAACCAUCGCAUUUCAAUUUAUAAUGUUACAAAGUCUCCUUGCUUUCUCAUUCUCCUUUUAAUAUCCGAAAUAUAGAAUAAAAUAGGCACAAAAUAUAAGAGUCUAUAUUCGACUAAAAAAUUUCAGUUUCUGCAAAGGGAUGUGAAAUUUAAUACUGACAUAGUAACAACUUCUAAAAAAAAGGAAAAUAUUGAAAUAAUUCUACUCAAAAGCCCAUUGGUUCUCUCUUCGGAUCUCCUCUUCUUCUUCCGGAGUGAAGUCAUUUAUUAUGUUGAAUAACUUGCGGAUCUCCUCUGGCGUUUUUCCCUUAAUCAUGUCUGCAACAGUUUGGCAAGUAAGAUCCAGAAGACUCUUGAUAUUCAGAUAGUUUGCAGCCUGAAAAAUCAGAUGGUGAAAAGGAUUAGUUAAUGCCAUGAGAAGCAGUAAUUCGGAUUUGGUGUAAUAGAAUUCAACGAUAGUACAUAACACGCAAUUCAUAACCAAAUCUAUGCAAUUCUGUAAAAUUAUCACAAACAGCAAUAUCAAUAGCCACAGUUAUAAUAGGCUUAACUAUUGAUAUGAUGAAACCAAUUUCAAUUUAACAAAACCCUAACGCACAAUUCAUAACAGAAUCCAUUUAUAAACCCUAAAAGACCACUUAUAAAAACAUCUACACAUAAUUCUGCGAAAUUAGUACAAAACAGCACUAGCAAUGGCAACAACAACAAUGAUAAAAGCAAUUCUCGACAUGAUCAAACCAAUUUCAGCCUAGUAAAGCCCUGACGCACAAUUCACAACGGAAUCCACCAUAAUCCUACAAACGCAGAAUCAACAAGGGAAAAAUCAAAGAGUAUACCAUAAUAAGGUCGAAGAGUAUGGCCUGAUCGACUUUGACAAAUUCGGAGUCGAAAGCCUUGAGGUCGUUCUCUGCGACCACGUCGUUGGCAUUGGCGGCAGCGGCUUCAGCAUGCUUCUUACAGUAUACAAUGAUCAUGGACAGGAUCUUUCCGGUAACAUUGGGAACUGGGAUGGCGCUAUCGGCGCAGUCGUCCUCGAUCAUAUGUCUGAUGGUCAGAGACUCCAGCGCCACCAACUCCUCCACCUCGAAAACCUCGCCGUCAGAGCUUUUCAGCGUAAUCUUCUUACCCUCGUUCGACAUCGUUUCGCUUUGAGUUGUUGACGUGUUUGGUAAGGCUUAUUAGACGCAAAACGAAAGCGAUAAACAGAGAUGAGUUGAGAUUUGCAGGGUGCGGCGCAAUAUUUAUAGAGAGAGAGGAGAAUAUGGAAAAAGGAAAAUAUUGAAAGCAACGGCUGGGAUUUAUCGUGGAAAGUUGGAAACAAUUUGGAAAUUUUGGAUGCGGCGGUUUGGAUCCAUAGUCAGUGACUAUAAUUAAUUAUUCGUUACUCUAAAAAAUUAUUUUUACUUGAAAAUAAAAAAAAAAAAAAAAAAAAUAGAGACAGAGAACAUAGGCAUAAAACUACUUUUUUUUUUCACACUCGACCAGAUAAAACAUGUCCGAAGUUUUGUUCGUUAUUCAUAAUCUCAUAAGCAUCUACGUUAUAUGCCAGAGGGUUACUUCAAACACAUGAAGACCAGAGUUGACUUUCUAGACAAAGAAAACUACGUGGGCAAGUUCACUUUGGUUGAGGGAGACGCACUUGGUCACGAGCUUGAAAAGGUAUGUUAUGAGAUGAAAUUUGAGGACACAAAAGGAUGGAGGAUGUGUUCUCAAGAUCUCCAGUGAGUAUCAUUCCAAGGGUGAUGUUAUACUUAAAGAAGAGGAUAUUAAAGCAACCUUGGAACAUACCAUGGGACUCUACAAGUCUUGUGCGGAUUACCUGAUUGCCAAUCCUCAUAUUUGUGUCUAAAUAAUUUCCAAUUAUGUUUCUUAUUUUCUAUAUUUCCUUAAUAAAGAACUUUGUUCUACUCUUCCAUUGAAGUUUGUUCUUAUCCAACUGUCAUCAAAAUUUACGGUACAACAUUAAGAUGCAAUUUUAGCAAAGUUCCAGUCUUUGCCUUAAUAAAACAGAUUUGUUUGUUUAUUU
RNAcentral lists this long non-coding RNA (80273 nucleotides) under Olea europaea (common olive). RNAcentral's name for it is "long non-coding RNA (OEUR_LNC014121)". The record is from RNAcentral. Lineage: Eukaryota; Viridiplantae; Streptophyta; Magnoliopsida; Lamiales; Oleaceae.